UCUACUACUCCUUGCUUGAUUGAACUUAACGUACGUAGAUUUAUAUUGCUAGUAUAUCUGUGUAUCCUCUUUACAUUUUUGUUCUUUUUUUCCUUUUGUCUAUUUUUUUUUCUCUUUUGUUUGGUUAGUUCUGAUUUUUGGGAGCUCCAUUGUGAUUUCUAAGAGGAGAUUUAUCGGAUGUACGUACGUAUGUACUUAUGUUAAUAACGUACUCUUCAAUAGUUUGUAGCAUUUUUCAUAGAUGAAUAAGAGAGCCCGGCCGUCAUUCUUGUUUUGUGUAUAGAAGUGUGUACUAAUCAAUAAUUACAGUUGUUUACCUGCAUAGUUAAACUGCAAACACCUAAAACCUAAUCGAUCCUGUAUAUAUGAUCGGGUUCAAUUUACAGUUCGAUCGCCUACCACUCAUACCCUAGCUGGUACAGCAUUUCUAUAUUUCAUUUCAAUAUACGUGAUAAUAAUAAAUUGGGUCUGGAAAUUCAAAAUUUACUUCCCAACAAUAUCUCCAACUGUAUAUGUAUAUCAAAAACCCUAACACUCUUAGAGUUGAUCAAUGAAAUGGUGGUUGGGUUGUUGAAAUGGGUGGAUAGAGCAGUGAUAUUUCUGUGGAAAUAUCAAUGGAACAUAUAUGAUAGUGGAAUUUGUACAUGGUGGGGAAGGAAUGGGAUGAGAAAAUGAUAAAGUUAGGUGCAGCAUUAGCUAGGGUAACUAGUAAAGGAAUAAUGUGUGGAAGAAAUGGGAUAUGGUGAAUUGCAUAUUAGGAUAGGAUACAUGCGCGCAUGCAUUGCGUUCCAGCUUUGCUUGGUAGUCUUGUUUGUGAUCUUUUUAUGGUGGGUUAAAGGAUUAGAGGGAGAUAGAAAUGGCAUGGCCAGCCAAGCUCAAAUGGGAAUGAUCGACAUGAAAGCACAAGGCAUCCAAAGGAAUGGUACUUAUUCAUGGGGUAUGUGGGGUUUGAUACGCAUAUAUGGUGACAAAACAUAUAAAUUGGAAAGUGAAGUGCACAUGACUCCUACUACUAGUUGCCCCCACGAAACAUACAUAUAGGUGAGCCGUGAGCGAGAGGUCGAUCACGAAUCCAUUAACUUCUUCCUUUGUGUAAAUUCUAGCUUCUCGUGUUUUUUUUACAGUUAGAUCAUCAAUAAGUUGUGAAAACAGUUAUGCAUACAAGUAGAGGAUCCAGGAAAAACUACUUUGGCAUAAUAUUGGUUUCUUUUAGUUGAAUACAAGGAAUUACAUUACGCAUGCAUACAUUUCCACUACAAUGAGUUCCAAAACGAUGACAAUUGAUUGACCGAGAGACUGAGAGAGCCCUCCGAUCCCCCCGCUAAUAUUUAAGAAGGAAUGAUCGGACUCAUCGGAGUGCUAAUUACUUUCCUGAAACUCUGAAAGAGUUCCUCAAAAUGCCAUAGAUUGGCUUAAGCAUCAGGGAGUUGUAGCUAGGAAUAACUACUUGAUAUGUUUAGGGUAAAAUGACCUAUCCCUACUUUCAGCUGGCCAACUUCUAGAAAGAAAUAUAUAGCAGAUGUUUCUUCAACAGACGUAACUAUGUGCUCACAGUUAUGAGAGAGAGAAGGGAUAAUUUGGUGACGACUAGCUAGCUUACAGCAGGCAAUCAAUGAGUGAUGCAUGGUGGUCUGCGUACGUAUGAACAACCGUGAGUGCUUAUGGCACUACAAAGGAAUAAUCCAAAUGGACGAUGUGACAAAUAACAUGUAAUGCGAAAAAACCACAUGCACCGUGUUGGUCACUAGAAUUUGGAACUUUGGAAUAUAACUAUUUGUAUAUAUACUUGCAUAUCAAUUGCAGUAUGAGUUCAAUUUAGUCAUGGUAUGUGGUAUGUCUGAGUUCAAUACGUACGAUCAAACAUUCACAUCAGCAGGUUAAUUAGUGUGAGUUAUUCUGCUUAGGUCUCAUUCUUCAAAACUUGCUCAUCUUGAAACAGUUUAAUCAUUUAGUGUUAACCUUGAAGGCUUGAACUCUCAUUCAGUUGAACCCAAUUUGAGUUGAGGAUUGGUUACUUGUCCUUCCAACUCAAUCUCAGAUCGCCUAACAAACAAUGAAACAAAUCACCUCCUAGGAUCUUAUUAUUUUUACAUUAUCACUUCCUUGCUAUUACGUACAGAAUCCAAAACUCCCAAAUUAUUCCCAAUUAUGUAAAUCACAAGGAAUAUAUGUACGUGUGCCCUGCUUUGCUGAUUAGAUUCGUAUACGUAGUAAAAGCAAAUAAUAUGAAUGGCGUAGUUUCACGAUCAGAAACAUAAAGCUAAAGUUUGUAUAGAUUAAAGCAUUGGAUGCCAUUCAAAGAUCCAACAAUUCAGAACCAUCAUACUAUAAGCUUUAUAUGUCUUUUACCUUUUUCUAUGAAGACAGACACCAAACUACAAUGUUCUCAUGAAUGAAAUUAAGAGACAAGAAUAUAUACAUAGCCACAUGUCAGGCUGAUUAUUAAUGAGAAACCCUAAUGCGCGUGUAGAAAACCCAGAGAAUUUUCCUAUCAUAUGGGAUUCAAGAUUCUUAAGCGCACUUGGUUUAAGUUGUAUCCUGGUUUGACAUAGACCAAACUCUUUAGUCUGUGCUUUACGAUUGAUUUGAAUUGUGAAAGAAAUGGACUUAUAUUGCAUCAAGCAGCGGAAAAAUGAUCGAGCCAGCUUUAGUGCUACCAAUUUCAAAGUUGAUGGGUUCUCAGCAGGGCAAGACCUCACAUUAAAUGAAAGAUACUCCACACAAUUUAAUUUACGAAAACUAGAAAAGAGACAAUUAGUGAUGUUUUGUGGUUGGAACUUGGAAAGUUUGGGCAAAUUCUGCUUAAUUUAAACAGACAAAUUAAGAUUGAAAGCUAUGCAACUUCCAACUCUAAAAAGCUCAGUCACAUUAUUGCAUACACACACACACACUUAUUUAUGGUAGACCGUAUAGAAAACAAUGAUGAAGAUUUUGAUCUCCUAGUGAUUCAUUUUCACAGCCAAGUGCAAACAUAUUUGAUAUAGAAAAUCGUCAGGAACGUCGACAAAGAGCGAUAUCCAACAAGGUAGCGAUGAGUGAUGACCCCAGAGAAAAGAGAGUAUCGAGUAGCAUUAGAGAUUUGGGACUAUAUAUGGAUGUACUAAUAUUGGAGAGAGUAUUAUUUGUCUCGGAAGUUUCUAUUUCAAGACGACAGAAUUUGAUCGGUUGGAAGAGUUAUCUGACCAACGUUUAUGCGAGGGAGUUGAUGAUGGGCAUGGUAAUCAACAUCAGAAAGAGUAAUGGUGCCGGUGAGUGAGUCGACGACGAUGACGCUGCUGAAGAGGGUGAGACCUUGAGAUCGAGUUGUAAUAGUGUUUGCUACCAAGAGUUUCGGACUAAGAUGUGUUGCUCCCUUGCUCACAUGUUUUUGGCAGCAAGGGCAAAGGGAGUUGGCUGAGAGCGAGUCAUUAUGUCUUCUCUGCCGAUAUAACAUGCCUACAGAUUAUUGCUCUUUGCUAGUGUGGAGUGUUCUUAAUUUUCUUUUUGGACAAUAUAUUCCUAUAUAAUAUAAUCUUCAUGACAUCCCUGGUGCCUUAGCUUGUUUAUUUGUGAACUAUGUUCACUUAAUGAUAAGUAGUUUUCCUAAUUUGUGACCAAGUUUCACAAGAAUCUGAAUAAAAAUGAACGUUGCAAGCAUGUUACUAAUCGACUAGACGAGGGAUAUGGAUUUUAGUGGUUCAAAAUUUGGGUAACUUUUCUUUUGCUUCUGGUAAAGGUUUAGAUUUCAUUGAAAUAAAAAGAAUAAAAGAAAAAAAGAAGAGGAAACGGGAACCACAACCUGUAGGGAAUAGUAUACACCUAUACAAUGACCAAAGUCAAUAGCUCAAAGAAAUUCGAAAAACACCAAAUAAGCUUUACCACUCAAAGUUUGGAAAGAACUUGGUCUCAUUAAACCAUAUAAAUUUAGACCUCUGAAAGCUUCAGGUGCAAUUCCCAACUUCACAUACUCAAAAAUAGCAUUUGAAAAUGUGACGCUUUUGGUCGAACAAUAGUGAAUGCUUUUCAACUCCUAGUUCACAGCAAGUAGCUAAUUUCAAUUAAGAAAAGAAACCAAAUACAGCACUUGUCAAUUAUUACAGUGUUGCAUAUGAUUGAGGAAUUCACUAAAAAAGUAUACUAUCAAACAAUGUGGUACAAUGACAUGAUCCGCUAAAUUUGGAACUAGCAAUAUGACAAGUGUUACCGAUAAAGGAGAAUGAAAACUCAAGUCAAAAUUUGCCAAGAAAUGACUGGUUCAUGAGCAUGCAGUGUAAAGUACGAUGCUAAGUUGCUAACCACAGAGCUGCAUAAUGAGAAGAAGGCUAGUUCCACCUUGGAAUCUAACCACUGCGCAUCAACUGGGUUGUAGGUGAUGCGGAUUCUACUAGUAUACUCUCUCUAAUUGGUUUGUAUUUUCUAAUCCCUUGACCCAGAUAAUGCGUCUUCAACGCUCACCAAGGUCCUAACUCUGGAGAAGGGUAUCAAAGUUAAUAUCUUUUAAUCAAGGCACUAUUUGUUCUAACAGAACCCUGAUACUUCACCUAUCUUCUUCUUUGUUUUCUUCGACAUUCAAAGCAAUCUGAACAUGGAGAUCUGAUUUUACUUGUAUAAGAUGCUUGCAGCUUGCUAGGUGGUACUUUCAGGUCUUCAACUAGUAUAUGGCGAAGCUUCUCAUUCUCCUCUGUGAGCUCGUCAAUGAUUUGCUGGUGUUUCAAUACCUGAGACAACAUAAAUUCAAUUAAACAAUUCUAUUACAUUUUCCUAACAGGAGUUGAACAGUUUUAGUAGCUUGAAACAAAAUUGAAGAAAGCAAUUGUUUAGUUGAAUAUUUAGAAAAGAAAAAGGUUGAAUUCUUGAUACAAAGGUGAUGUAUGAGCUACAGAAAAUUGGACUCUACAACACAUGAUAACUUGUUCAAAAACUUGUCAAAUGCUCUAAAAACCACAUUGGAACAACAAUAAAUACUAUAACUAUCUGCUACUAUUACAUUGAAACCACAGAAAAGGGAUCAGAUAUUUGUCAGAAAAAAUGACUUCUUAGCAUAUCUUGAAGGCUGUGAGGAAACUCACAAGUUGGACAUAUCAAAUAGGUAUUUACCAAGCAAUAACAUCACCACCAUAGUUGUCUCUUAGUCUCUUAGAUCCAUCACUUGGGAAAAAUUAAUAAUAUUAUAAAAUAAUUAUAAUAAAAAGGAAUCAAUUGAAACCACAAGUCAAUAUUUACUACCAUUUGAAGGAUUUUAUUCUCCGACCUCAAGCGUCCAGCCUACAAAGGUAAAAUCAAUAAAAAUUAGUACAAAAGUAACAUGAAUGGCAGACACACCCAGGUACCUACUACGCCACUACAGAUUGCAGAGAGAGAAAGUGAAAGAGAGAUCAAACCAAAGGGUCUGCAAUAAAAUCACAAAAAUUUCAGACUUAGAGUUGGAACCUGUACAUACCACGUCACUUAGUUCACUAUCCUCUCCCUUCAAAACUGGACUCUGUAAAAAGCUGCUGAGAACCUUCUCUGUACGACUGCCAAAAGGUGUAUCAACUGGAGAGCUUGUUGAUGUAAAAUUAUCAUAAGUUGAACCUGUACCCUUAUUUCCAUAUCCAGGCAAGCCUUGAGUUGCAUAGUCUGCUGGUUUUGUUGCCAUCUGCAUUAUAUUUCCGACUGGAUUUUGGCUUGAUGAAUCAUUCAUAACGCCAAUGCCGCUUUGCAAUGAACUUGGAAUGGCACCUUGAAGGAUUGGUAAAUUGGGAGAAAUUCCAAAUUUUGUCAUCAUUUUUGCCAUUGUUUGCUGGAGAAUUUAGAGUCAGAAACAUAGUAGUAGGCUCCAACGGGAAUUAACACAUGAAAAAGCAAAGUAAUACUUACCAUAGAAAACAGUUGAAUUUGUUGCAAAAUCCCUGGUUUCAGAGCAAGGCCUGCAUUUGGAAGCAAUAGUAAAUGAAUAUUGUUACAAUGUAGGAACUACAAAGUAAAAUGUAUUAACUUAGUAUACAACGUCAUAAGAUAUGAGUGCAAUUGAUUUGGUGUGAUUUAGAACAAUGUACAAUAACUUGGAAUAAUUGAAAGCUGAAGAAUGAAAUUUGUUUCUUAUUGAGAUCUUAAACUCAACUGCAAACGCUAGUGAGAUUACUAAACACAAACGUUCGUCAGUCUAUGACAUUAGUGAUGUAGUGAUUACUCUUAUUCAAAAAAUUAAGUUAUAUCUACAUAAGCAAUUGAUAGAUGCGACUUAUUGAAUAGAAAGGUAGAUGGUAGGACCAUCAUACAUGUGUUAAACUUUAAUAGUCUGAUGACUCCUCUAUUAAGUUUUUGGAGUCAGUCAUUAUAGUGCUAAAAUACAGUUCAUUCUUUGGUAAUCCAACUUCACUAAAAAUACCAACUUGAAAUUCAAAAUAUUGAGGAAAUAUGAAAGAAUACUGAAAAUACUAUGGAGAUCAAGGAUACAUAAUAACAUAUAGGUAAAGUCUGAAUGUUUUUUUUUUUUAAUCAAAGGGUCAACUCUUUAUUGAAUAUAGAACUAAAUUAUACGUUACAAAUAUCAGCUGCUAUAGCAGAGUGAAUAAAAUUGGUGCAGAACUAAGUCUGAAUGUUUUUGUAACUGCUAGACACCAUACAAUCAAUUUUGCUAAAGCAUUUUACAUCCACGCUAUUCGGUGCUUAUGACCAAGGAGAGCAUCCAGUCCUUUCACACCCAAAACAAGGUAAACAACUUAAUAAAGAAUAAAUGAAUUUCUUCAAUAAGCCACGGAUAUUCAGUGAUAAUUUAGUUUAAAAUUCUUAGGUAUGUUGAUAGUAAUUUACAUUACGCGCAUCAACAUUUCCUCAUGAAAACAAAAAAAACAAAGCAUUUCAAAAUAUUCAACUAUCGUAUUACUAUGUAUGAAUCAAAUGGUUUGGAUAACAGAAGCAAAUAAGAAAUAUGUAAAUGAAAUAAUGUCAAUAUAGGAAAGAGAAUAUAUUAUAAUACUGAUUCUCCUAGAAGCAGAUAAGAUGACAUACCAACUCCAAAGCCAUGUCCAAAACCAACGCCACAACCAAUGCCGGCUUCAAUGUUCUUUGCUCCAACCUUCCUUAACUGGACAAUGAGAAAGCAGAAUAAGACAUUUGGGAAUCCUUCAACACUUGUAUAAUGAUUUUCUCUUCCUAUCUCAUAUCAAGACACAGAAUACUCCCGAGAAUCCAAGACUGAAAAGGAAAAAGUUAUUCGACUUACGGCGUCAGUUACAUGUCUGCUAACUCCCGAAAAAGCAUCAGUGGCACCUCUUGUGGCACCCAUGACUUGAUUUACCACUGGUACUGCACCUGGUAUAUAGCCAAAGUAAUGUGUGAGUUAACUAAUAUCUACUAGUCCGCUACAACCAUAGAAGAAAUCUCUUGUCAAUGAUAUCUUUACUUGAGGACACUUGUGACUUAAUUUUAUAGAUUAAUGAUAAUAUAUAUAUAUAUAUAUAUAUAUAGAAUUAUCUUUUUACUCCUGCUAUUCUCUGCGCUUGUAAUUUCGUGAAAGAAGGAUUGGAAAAGAUUUCUAUCUGAAGGUUUUGGCUGACAGAAAAUACACAUACAUAAAAUAUAAAAUUUGAAAAGACUAUUAGAUCAAUGGACUAAAUGAGCAAGGAUAAUAAAAGGCUCUAUAAACAAUAGAAAACUCAGAUUUACGAUCAUAAGUGACAAAGACCAAAUGUACUUUAAGUACUAAAAAUAAUGAGGAAAGGGAUAUGCAUACUUGAAUUUUUGGAUUAUUGAGAUGCCAAAAGGACAAAUACAUUUUCAGUGUACAUAGUAUAUUCCCUGCGUUGCUACAACUCUUUAAGUCUUUAACUUAUAGGUCAAUUAGAGCACGCAUAGGUACAGUGAUGCCCAUCAAGCCUAUAAUAUAAAUACCGAAUUCUAUGUGCUAAACGUGUCUUGUUUUAUAGAACUAAGCACAAAUGGACAUGAAAACAUUCAUUUUUUAAGCACAUGUUAAUGCUGAUUUCUUUCAUUUCUCCCUUCCUCUAAGUUGUUUUCCUCGACUCAAAGGUUAGCAAUGCAGCUUUCCCUUUUCAUUCAUACUUAGACAGGAGUUAAUAUCUUGGAUCAUGCAUGCUAACAAAGUAACAAUGUGGCUAUGUCAGGUGAAUGAUCCUACAUUAGUAGCUUUGGUGACUUGUGGAUAACCUACCAAAUAACCACUAAAACACAUGUGGAAUAUAUUGGUCUUGGAACUCAAAUCCAUUGCCUAUCAGAUAGUGUAAAACUAAGAACUCUCUACCUUCAAAACAACAAUUUAAACUGCUCUGAUGACUACAAAUUGAAUUGAUUUCCAUGUAUGACUACACAACACCAAUUCAAUGUUUCAGAAUAUGAGAUCUCAGAAAUGAGCAAGAGUGGUAAACUAUAGUUCUUGGAAAUAUAAAGGACACCAGGUCCACCAAUAUCGUUGUAUCAACAAAUCCUUCAUUAUCUAAAACGAUAUAAGCACAAGAGACUCAAAUCAGAACAUAGCUUCAAACUGCACACACCCCACGAUCACAUAUUGACUAGAACCACAAUGCGCAAACCUCAAAACAACCAAAUUCUCUACAUCAAAACCAACGCACACUGCAGCUACACUAGCAAAUAACCAAAUGCAAUAUCUAUAAACAAUCAACCAAUCUUCCUUCAUUCACUAAAGGUCUAAAGCCAACAUGAAACAGCUUAAUCACAUUUCCCUACACUAACUCAGCAACCAAAAACACGACCGAAAUUUGAAAACCAAACAAACAAACAGUCCAUUAGAACCUUGUGAGUGAUGGGUUUCACCAUUUUUGGGCUUGAAGAGCCUCCCAAAGUCCAUCUUCAAUAUUUUAAAACUCACAGAGAACAAAGCUACACAACACUGAGAGAGAUAGCAAGGACUAAAAGAAAAGGGUGAGUACCUAAAUUAAUGGGGCGGCCAACGCCGAUACCAACACCACAGCCUAUGCCAAACCCAGUAAAUACUUGACCCACUUUCAAAGUAAACGGAUUCCCUAUUCGAAUCGGCUUCUUCUCAUUGGCCACCACCACCACCUUACUGCUUCCCUCCAUAUUCCCCAAAAAAGCUUCUCUCUUUUCAAAAACCCAAGUCUCUCUCUUUCUUUAGUCUUUCACAAAGCUAAAGCUUCAACCUUUUCUUUCUUUCCUCUUCAAAUUUCCCACCUUUGCCCUCUCUGUGAAGCCUGAACUGUAAGUCUGAUACAAUUUUAGGCAGGAGGCAAACUGAACAGAGUUUCUACUCCUCUGCUUACAAAACCAUUAUAGUAAUCUUAGGCUUCAAGUGAUGAACCAAUAUAAACAUGACACAGCAACAAUGAGGAGGUCAAUUACCAGAUUACCUUCAUACCUAAGAAGUAAGGUACUAACCAAGUGUCAAAGAAAGAGGUUAGCUGGAGUUGUUUGGGCCUAUUGGGCAGGUUAAUUUUUGACGCGGCCCGGCCCAUUGUUUGGGUUCUGACACUGAUAACCCGCCUUAUACUGAUUCUUUGCUUCUGCUAGUGCUAGAUUUUGGGGCACGGUUUCUGGGUGAGCUUCUUCAUCUUUGUUUUGUUUCCUUGUUUUUCGUUUCUCUGUUUUCAUUUUGCUGCAUUUUUAGUAUGUGGGUUUUGUGAGUUUGGGGGCUUUUUGCGUGAACGUUUAGAGAGUUUUUGGUGUGGGAAUGUAGGUUUUGAAAGGUGUGAUCUUGAUGGGUUCUUUUCUGUGUGUUUUGGUUUCUGCAAAUUUGGGUGAGUUUCCUCACCUCUUCUUCUUUCUUUUCCUUUUUUGUUUCCUGCAUUUUUAUUGGGUACAAAAAGUUGGUUUUGCUGAGGUUGGGGUUUUUGAGGAUUCUGGAUUGGAGUUGUGGGUUUGGACUAUGGAGUAUGGAUCAUGUGUUGAAACGAGCUUUCCAAAGUAGAGUUUUCUGCAACUGUAGCCUUGUAUAGUUGUGUACUUGUGUUUAGAGAAAUGGGUAGGAAUAGAACAUUCACCAAGUGUUAUGAAUCCCAUUUGCUUAAUUGGGUUACAAGAUAGGGAUAGGUUUACUUACCCGUUACCCCUCAUGGGGUUCUUUUCAGUUUGGUUAUCUGUUGUGUUUUGGACUUUUAUGUUUAAUAGAUUAUUCAGGGUUUCUGCUUUUGGUUGUACUAUGGAACGUUUAUAUGUAUGUUCUGAGUGUUGUGUGAACUUUAAUUGGUGAUCCAAUCUUUCUAGCAAAGUGUCCCGCACAGUGCUCACUUUGAACACAAAAGGUUUCGACCUUAUCUUCACUUGUGGAAGUUGAGGAAAUCUGUCAAAUGGAGCCUAUUCUACAUAUUCGAUCUUUUGCUGCACUAUAUUCAUGAACACUUUCGUCACAGCUCUUGAUUUUUAACUAGUCCCCUGCUAGUGAAUUUUGUGCGACCAUUGGUACCCCAAUGUUGUUUUAGGUUGAACUUUUUCCUCAGCUUCUGUUUGUUUCUUCAGUUUUGAAAUUUUCCAGCUUGUCUUCAGGUUCCUAUAUAGUGUGUAGGAAAUCUGCUAUGCUUGUUGAGUUUCUGGUAACUAGAUUGUUUGUGGAUUUUGUUGCUUACUUGCUUUGGUUGCAUAUUAACUAUAUAAAAUCUGUAGAUGUGCUCAAGUAUUUAUGUGUACUUUCAAUUAGUAUUUCAGUUUCUUUUUACAUAAUCAUAUGUGGUUUAGCACAUUCAUUUUACUUUACAAAAUUUGGAGUAUGGUAAUUGUUGAAGCUAACAAUAGUCUCUUCGUGGAUCAGGUGUCAACAUCGCUUACCAUUUAUGACAAGCUUCCAUCAGGAAAAAUCAUUGCUUCUGUCAAACUCUGUGAUUACAAAUCUGGCAAGGUAUUCAACUUAUGUUAGCCUUUGAAGUAUACAUGAAUUUGCAGUUCAGCUGCAACUUAUAUCCACAUUUCUUUUAUCUAUUGCUGCAGUACCUUUAUGAACAAGUAAAAAGCAGUUGAUCUGAACUAAUCCUCUGCUAUUUGUUUUUGCAUAGUAAUUGGCGGUCCUAGCAUUAUUUCAGGAGGGGAAACUAGAUACUUGACAACUUCAGUUACAUUUGUAAACGAUAUUGCUGGUCUAAGCUUGACAGAGCCAAAUUCCUUUGAUUUAGUAGUUCUGUAAGUUGGCCACUAACAGAAAAGUACCUGUAGUUUUUGGAUGAUUAAACAGACAAACAUACUGUUGUUAUUUAGGUUUGUCGCAGUGUCUUUUGGUUGCUAGUCAAUAAGAAUACUUGUCUUUGAUGGUUAUUGUGAUUUUAGGUUCUUGAGCAUUACAUAGGGUUAUGUGUUAUCGUUGCAGGAUUUGGAAUCAUCAAUUGUAUCACUAAGUGGUAUCCAUUUUCAAGUAGGAUUUGGAACGUUGCCUAUGGAAAAUUCUGAGCUACCAGCGUAUAAGCGGUGUAGAGUCUCUGCUGUUCGUGACUUUCCUAUUGGGUGUGGACCAUUUGCUCACUUGAGUAAUUUGAAUGCCAAUGGUACAGAGAAGAUUUCAGAUAAAAAAUAUCCUCCUCGAUCAGUAGAAGCUGUUCGGGAUUUUCCACCUUUAUGUGGGAUCAAUGCUUCUCCGGAGGCCAGGAAAUUCAGCAAAGAGAAGUCAGUUAGGGGUUAUAAGCCCUUGUCAUCAAAGACAGCGAAGAAUAAUGAGAAACAAACAGGACUUGGGAACAAAGUUCAACCCAACAUUGAGAAGAAAAUUGGAGGACACUCUCUAAAGAAGAAUAAUCAUGUACCAGUAAAGGCUGCUUGUCAAGGUACAAGUCAGCCUGAUAUAAGGAAGAAGGAGUAUUCUCAGCAUGAUGAAAAAGAACAUAAUCUUGUGAUUCCAAAAUCACGGAGUACAGAUGGGUGCCCUCCUCCUUUUGGUUAUAGUAGUUUGAGCCGCAGAAGUCAUGAUAAUGACACGAGUGAAAGGAACAAGGUAAAGGAGAUAUUGCAUUUGUUCCGAGAUGAAUGUCAGAAGCUCUUGCUGGAGGAAGAAAAUAAAAGGUCAAGGGGUGUGGGAACUUCUCACCGAAGGGUUGAUUUGGAAGCCUUCAAGAUCCUCAAGGAUAGGGGAAUCUCUAUAAAAUCAGGCAAACAUGUCAUAGGAGAUAUUCCAGGAGUUGAAAUUGGUGAUAAGUUUCAUUACCGAGUGGAACUUAUCCUUAUUGGCCUCCAUCACCAGAUACAAAGUGGUAUAGCUUAUGGACAUUUCGGUGGAAAGGUCCUUGCAACCAGUAUCGUUGCAUCUGGUGGCUAUGCAGAUGAUUUGCAUAGUAAAGAUUCAUUGAUCUAUACUGGCCAUGGAGGAAAUGCAAAUCCAAAGGACCCUCAAGAUCAGAAGCUUGAACGGGGAAAUCUUGCUUUAAAGAAUAGUGUGCAAAAGAACCCUGUUAGAGUGAUCCGUGGCUCCGAACUAGUGGAUGGAAGCAGGACAUAUUUCUAUGAUGGAUUAUAUAUGGUAGAGAAAUGUUGGCAGGGUAGAGGUGCUCAUGGUAAGCUUGUUUUCAAGUUUCAGAUGAACAGAAUUGGAAGCAUUGGAAAUUGACGUGUGAGGUUAGUACUACUUAUUCAUCUAUAAGAUAUUUGGAUAUUAUAAGUUAGAACUCGGUUAGUUACAUAUAUCGUGCAUUGUACUGCAUUUGGUUGAGUGGAUGCAUGCAAAUAUGAAAUACUAUCAUAACUGAUGAACUGAAAAUGCAUUGAAUAUGAUUAGACCAUGAAUCCAUUCUUUAUCAUGGUUUCUGAUUUAUGUAGUGUUGAUUCCGUUGGAGUUAAUUUGGUUGUUUUUCGUCCCCACAGAUGCAUGCUUGAACUUGGGUAUACAAGGAAGAAUUGCCAGCCAGUAUUUGACCCAUCUAAAAGAGCUAAGCGGAUGUUUUGUAAAAAGGAUUUUCCAGCGGUUAGUAAGGUGUUUCUGUGACAGGUAGAGUAGAUAAACCGACUUUUGUGAAGAACUUUAGCAUUGAAAAAAAAAAAAAAACUUCUGUGAAGAACUUGACAGUGAGGCACAGAUCGAUGUACUGUCUAGAUAGUGUGAAGCUUGUUAUCGAUGUAAUUAGGUCUAAACUUAAUGUAGGCAGUAUUACGUGACAGUUAUGUGAAUGCUGUGUUGAGUUUGAUAUUGAUCAUGUUUUGCUUGCUAGUUGCAGGAGUUGGCAAUUGCUCUAGUGUGUAAAGUGCAGUUUCAAAUUUCUUGAACUGCGAUUUCCCGCCCAUUAUUAUUGUCACACCUAUAGUAUAAUACACCUUGUUCAUAACCCAAAAGCCCCUAUCAGUUUUAUGAAGAUGCAUAGCUCUGAAUAAAUCGCAAGAAAAGCAUCAAUAAUUUUUCAUAGAUGAACUUUCUCAGAUAAAUAUGUAAGAUCAAUACCUUGCCAGCAAAUAAUUUUCAGGUAGAAAGCAAGAAAUGGACUUAACAUAUAAAUCGUUGCGAAUUAAAAUGCGUGGCAUUCUAAUAUAAUCAUGUCCACUGCAAGGUGUUGGGUGUUGGGGUGGACUAGAGGCUAAACUCGAUCUGUACAAGGAAAAAUUCGAAGUGUCAUAUGUUCUCCCUGGACUUUUUGUUUAGCAAACUAGCACCAACAAAAAAAACUAUACAAUUGUCAUAAAAUAAAGAUGCUGUAAUUUAGAGUGGAAGAUAACUUUAUGUUAAGUCUUUAGUUUCAACAAUCAAAUUUUGCGAGUGAUCCCCAACUAAGUGUGAUAUCUCAUUGAAAUUUUACUGAUUUUGGUUAACGUGUUGAAUGCCAAGCCUACUUACUACAAACCUUCAUUUCAUCGUAAUAUUUACCAUGUAUAUAUCUUGUGUUUAUGUAGUACAAAUAAGAGCAAUAUUAUCAAUUCUAUAUUCGUGAAGUUUUUACACAAGUCCUAAAUAAGAUCAAUUCUUAUUUUAUGGUUAUCUAAGUGACAUCGCUCGUGUAAAGGGAGGUGAAUAUGUGGUUGUCACAGAGGUGCGUGGAGGAGAGAUUGGUUGUGAAAAUAUAGCCGCAAAUGGCAAAUUAUAAUUCUUACGAAUUCAUUCAAAGUAGAUAAAUUUAUGAAACAAUUAAAGAUGUGAAUUGUAGAUAAAAUUUUAAAGUCAAUAGCGUGAGGAAUAAAAUGAAGUUGUACAUAUGUGCUUACCACCACAUGUAUAAAGUUAGGCCUUUUUUUUCUUUUUUGGUUACAAGUUAGACCUUUUUUUUUAUGAUACAAAAUUCGAUGAGUUGUUGGUCGUAUUUAUGAAACAAUUAACGUGUGAAUCAUAGUAGAUAAAAUGUUUAAGAUAAAACAAAAAGAUAAAAGGAAGUUAUUUUUCAGUGCUUACGGCCACAUGUAUUAAGUUAGACCCGCAGUCCAUCACCGAAUGCAAAGCUGCCACAUCAAUCCAGUCAACUGUUUUUAAAUUCUAUGACCAAAACGACCUGGUGUAACCGUUCAGACAAUUCCUGUUUUAGAAACAAACUGACUCGUUGGCAGUCAAUGGACUCUAUACACGAAGUCACGAACUACAAUUAAUUAGCUCAUCAUAUGAAUCCGACUGCCACCACCCUCUUGGGAUUUCUGCGUUUCUUCUCUCAAGUUUGCGUGAGUUUCUCCCUUACCUCUUCGUCUCCCGUAUCAAUUCUUCUGCAUUUUCAACAUAUGGCUGGGAUUUUGGGUGAGAAUAGAUCAUUGUAACUAAUGAUAGUUUUAUUGAGGGCUUCUUGUUCGUUUUCAAUUUUCAUUCUCAAUCUUCUUGCAUGCUGCUUGAUCACACUUCAGUCACUGCAAAGGUUAGCUUGUAGCUGGUUUAGUAUAAUUCUGUUAGUUAGUGUAUAUCUAUGUAAAUUGAGAAAAUGAGUGACUUAGUUGGGUUUUCUGGGCUCAUGGGCAUGGAAGUAAACAGUAUUAGAUGAUAUGAAUGUCACCGGUCAAAAGCUUUCAGGUGAGAAUGGUUCUGUUUUUUUUUUUUUUAAAGGAGUGAGAAUGGUUCUGUUGAAACCAUAAGAACCAUAAGAACUCACCCAGAUAGAUGUACUGGUUCUUUUAGAUUACAGUUUCAAUUCGUAUUUCACAUUAAUAUUUCUAGCGCAAAUUCCCAGCAUGCUCAAUUUGAGAUCAAGAUGGGAAUAAAGUGUGACCAGCUGGCUGCCAUUUGCUCUUAUUUUUACCUAUGUGUGUAUUUCUUCACAGUAGUUAAAUAGUAAACUUACUUCUGUUGGGAUAUAGCUGCACAAGUGAGGGGUCGAGAGGGGGAGUAUCAGAUUGAGUUACUACCAUAACUUUUUGUGUCUGACAAUUGUUUGCUUUGUUGAAUAGGUAUCAGCAACCUUCACAAUUGAAGUCAUCGGCAACUUCCAGAUCACAAAGUAUAUCUCUGGUGUCAGUUACAAAGCCAGAUUCCUUUGCUUCAGUAGUAAUUCCGUAAGUUCCACAUUCAGAAAAAAAAUUAGCAUAAUUACUGCGUGAUAAACCGUACUAAAGUCCGAGGACAGUUAAGUUAGUUGCUAGUACUCGAUUGUAGCGCGUACAUAUCCGUGUCUAUAUAUAUAUAUANNNNNNNNNNNNNNNNNNNNNNNNNNNNNNNNNNNNNNNNNNNNNNNNNNNNNNNNNNNNNNNNNNNNNNNNNNNNNNNNNNNNNNNNNNNNNNNNNNNNNNNNNNNNNNNNNNNNNNNNNNNNNNNNNNNNNNNNNNNNNNNNNNNNNNNNNNNNNNNNNNNNNNNNNNNNNNNNNNNNNNNNNNNNNNNNNNNNNNNNNNNNNNNNNNNNNNNNNNNNNNNNNNNNNNNNNNNNNNNNNNNNNNNNNNNNNNNNNNNNNNNNNNNNNNNNNNNNNNNNNNNNNNNNNNNNNNNNNNNNNNNNNNNNNNNNNNNNNNNNNNNNNNNNNNNNNNNNNNNNNNNNNNNNNNNNNNNNNNNNNNNNNNNNNNNNNNNNNNNNNNNNNNNNNNNNNNNNNNNNNNNNNNNNNNNNNNNNNNNNNNNNNNNNNNNNNNNNNNNNNNNNNNNNNNNNNNNNNNNNNNNNNNNNNNNNNNNNNNNNNNNNNNNNNNNNNNNNNNNNNNNNNNNNNNNNNNNNNNNNNNNNNNNNNNNNNNNNNNNNNNNNNNNNNNNNNNNNNNNNNNNNNNNNUUUAAGAAUUUGAGGAUUUCUACUAUUUUACAUUAGUAGAUGACUUCUUUUAAUAAUCUCAACCGUUGAUCCUCUAGAUUCAUAUGCAAGAAAUAUGUCUACAAAAUUUCAACUUGACACGACCCGCCUCAAAUUUCACCCUGAAACCCGGAGUAAGUCGUGCGGGGACCACCUCCAAGGAAAAUUUUACCGAAAAGAUUGGUAAAACCUCCCUUGAAAAUGGACAACCCUAACUCGAAAAUUCAAAUUUACACUCUUACUACAACACGUCCAAACUUCACAUAAAUAUCCAGCUAAUAAAAGCAAACAUUAUCCUUCAGAGAUUCUAAACAUCAAAUCAACAGGCCGAGCACACCACCGAAAUAAUAUACAACAAUCCCAAAGUAUCCAGAGCUACUAGACUAUAGCGGAAGCAAGAAAACACGAGUAGGUUGAACAAGUAACCUACUGAUGAAAACUAGCAAAAAUGCGGGUGACUAUGCCUCGCCUCCUACUAGAUCCAACCCGAACUCUGCAAACUGGGCAUUUUUUUAAAACGAAGGGCCCAGGGGAAAACAUUUAAUAACGUCAGAGUGAGUGGACAAAAAUAAAUUAAAAAAAUAAAAUAUUUAUGUUUCCCCGACUCAAUUCCCAAGGAAAAAUCGAAUGCAUGCCGCAAGCGAUAAAACUUUAAUCUCAUAAAAUAUCGAGCCUCUCAGACUCUAUAAUAUAUGUAUGUAUUCACACACGUCUAUACUCCCUAUAUAAAUUCAUAGGUCUAUAUAGGGCUACUACGCUCGCGUCACGCCUUAAUGCGGUGCUACACUACGUCAUUAAGAUGGACAGACAGGUGUAUAAAUAUGUGUCCAUACCCCCUAUAUGAAUUAAACACUCAAAUAGGGCUACUACGCUCACGUCCAACGCUCACGUCACACCAUAAUGCGGCUAUAUGCUACGCCAUUAAGGUGGACAAACACAUAUGGCUAGCUAGCAUUUUAUAUACAUACUCUCUCAUAAAUACAUAUUUAUAUCCACCGAAAAUUCCAUUUUCGGUAACUCUCCAAGAGAAAUAAAAUUCGUCAAAUUAAAAUGACGUCAAAAUAUUCCGCAACAAUUAUUGUUCAACCAUGAACUCUAGCAUGCAUUUUAUUUAAAACAAAAAUCCACUCACAAAUUUGGCCUAAGCCUGAUGUUGAUCUGGGGCCUCGUCUGCUCGAGCCUCCUCACGUCCUGAUCCAAAAAUAAUAUUAAUUUCCCAACUAACAAUCCAAUGUUUAAUCAAAAUAGGCAAAAUUACCCGUGAGCCAUAAAUACGCUCAUCAUUGCCUAACUUCGAUAAUCUUAAAUCGAAACGAUCCGAACUUAAAUAUCAUACUCGGCAGCCGUAAAUACAACCUCCCCAAAAAAUACGACUUAAAUCCUACGGCCGGAUUCUACAUUAAUUAACCGCCAAAAAUACCACACUUCGGAAAUUCAUAAACAUAUCCAAAACUCAUCCAAAAAUUCCAUAACUCACUUCAAUAAACUCCCCCUAAUAUUCCAAAUUUAACAACAUUAAAAAUCUCCCAACCGGCGGUGGCCGGAGGCCAAUUCCGGCAACCUCCAAAACCUAUGAAAUUUUGACAGCAUCUUCCUCUCAUCAUGCUCUACAACUUUCCUAACUAGCACAAACCCAAAAUCCAAGCCUAGCUAUGCCAAUCGAACAGAAACAUCAAAAACGCUCUAGAAUUUCAACUUCACAUUUCUCCUUACCUAGCUUAAGAGAGGGUGAGCUGUUUGGAGGGGUUGCUACACGGGAGGAGGGCUACAAAACGAGCCAAGGAUCGCCAGUUUUGGUGGCCGGAGGAGGGAGCUCCGGCGAGAGAACCACCACGGCAGUUAGCGGCUCCGGGUGUCGUUGCUCUCUCACGACGGCGCUAGGGGAACUGCUACCAGCCUAGAAUGAAAGCUGGGUUGGAGGCUGACCGAACGGGACUGGUGCGGUAGUCUCAGGCGGCCGGACGGCGGCGGAUGAGCGGCCGGAAGGUUUGGCUGCGGGAGGGACUCGAGGAGAGAGAGAACCGGGAAGAAAAGAGAGAAGAGAGAAAAUGGGUUUGGGCCUCACACCCCAAACUGGUCCAACCCAAUUCCAAAAAUAAAACACCCCGAAAAAAUAAUACCCGAAUAAAAAUUACAUUUUACUAUCUAAAAUUUACCAUUUUUACCGUCGUCAUAACUUUCUCCUACGAAUAACUCUCCGAAAUAAUCGUCCCCCGAAACCCCUCUAGGGACCAAUUAAACUAUUAUCUCAAUGACGGAGAUGGGAAAAUUCUUAUUAUAAACAAGCUAGUAAAUAAGGUAAAAAUAUAAGAGUCGGGAUGUGACACAACUAAUUCCAUAAUCAUUUGGUCAUUCAAAAUGAUGUAAACAAUUGUAGGCCGUUAAAUAAAAUUAAAAUGAACAUUGUGUUAAUCAAAUGGUUAAACGUUUUUCAUUUUGGCUAAUUUUUUGUAUGAUUCAUAUGUGGGUAAGUAACUAGGGAAUGGGUGGCUUUGAUUGUCAAAAUAUAUGCUAGAACUAAAAACAUCCUUACUUUAAGAGUUUAAUAAGGUCCUUUGUAGAUCUGGACUAUAUAUAUAUAUAUAUAUAUAUAUAUAUAUUAUAUAUANNNNNNNNNNNNNNNNNNNNNNNNNNNNNNNNNNNNNNNNNNNNNNNNNNNNNNNNNNNNNNNNNNNNNNNNNNNNNNNNNNNNNNNNNNNNNNNNNNNNNNNNNNNNNNNNNNNNNNNNNNNNNNNNNNNNNNNNNNNNNNNNNNNNNNNNNNNNNNNNNNNNNNNNNNNNNNNNNNNNNNNNNNNNNNNNNNNNNNNNNNNNNNNNNNNNNNNNNNNNNNNNNNNNNNNNNNNNNNNNNNNNNNNNNNNNNNNNNNNNNNNNNNNNNNNNNNNNNNNNNNNNNNNNNNNNNNNNNNNNNNNNNNNNNNNNNNNNNNNNNNNNNNNNNNNNNNNNNNNNNNNNNNACUAUAUAUAUAUAUAUAGUCUGUUUCUGGUGCGGACGUCCGUACAGGUUUUUCGUACGGAUUUCCAUCGUUUCUCCACCUUUCCAGCGCCGGCGACGCCGUUUCUUCUCCCCGGUGUGAUCUCAGACCUCCUCCGACGUUGUUGGAAUGAAGAAGAAGGCCGGAGAGAUCGCGAUCGGAGGUCUACCAUGAUCGGUUGUGAAGUUCUGAGUGAGAUUGCUGCACAGACCUCCGAUCGCGAUCUCUCCGGCCUUCUUCUUCAUUCCAACACCGUCGGGGGAGGUCUGGGAUCACGCCGGGGAGAAGAAACGGUGUCGCCGGCGCUAGAAUGGUGGAGAAAUGGCAGAAAACCCGUACGGAUGUCGGCACCAGAAACAGACUGUAUAUAUAUAUAUAUAUAUCUAUAUAUGUAUAUAUAUAUCGUUUUUAUUCGAAAUUCGGCGAAAGGUUUGUUAGGACUAUGUGUUCGAAUUAGCGUUACAUUUGUGAAUUGUCAUUUUCUUGACCUUUCCGAUCGAAAUUUAAAGUUGUUUAGAAAACUUUGUAUCAUUAUGGAUUUUGUUCUCUUUCUCUAUCGAUCUUUUUUUCUUUUCCCAUUAUGAUGAGUUUCUCACUUCGUCAAAUUGUCGCGGCUGCUUAUUGAUAGGGUGAAGCUAACUGUCCUCGCAUCUAUCUUCUGGCAACAAUAUAAUUUAAAGUUUAUGAAAUACUAAUUAGGUUGUGUAAUUGUGUUACAUAUCUAGUGAUUUUUUUACCGUUGUGUCAAAGCAAAUGGAGUUGCCAGUAAAACAAUAUAUUUUUUCGCUAAUUGAUGCUUAUAGAAUAUAUACUUGUCCGAUGUGAGUAGUCUUAUUAUUAUCUCGGGACAUACUCCAAAUGCUUCUUAUAAUCACGGGUUUAGACUCAUGUCACCCUUAUAUUCAAUAGUAUCAUUAAUCAAGGCUCGAGAGAAUCCGUACUAGCCCUUCAUUCAAAAAAUAAUAAUUCUAUACUUUUUAUUUUUUGCUUUAUGAAGAUAGAUUCAUGUAUAGUGAAAGAGAGAAUUAUACACAUUUAUGAAGAGAAAUAUUUUUAUUUACUUUCCAAAUUUGUGAUUUUGAGUUAGUUGCUAGUUUGAUGAAACAUAUUCAUAUAUGUUUUUAAUUAUUUGGUGAAAAGUUUGUUUGGACUAUGUUUCUAUAUUAACGUUACUUUUUUUUAUUGUUCGUUUUGACCUACAAUGUAAUUUUCACCAAAUAUGAAUUAGAAAAACCCGAAAAUGGUAUCUAAAGAGAGAAUUUAAUAUUCUUAACGUUGUGUUUGGAUGAAGUAGUUUCAAUUUCCAUAGAAAUUGGAAAAUCAUGGAAAUUACAAUUUCAUGAAUUUAAAUUCCAUUAAUCGGGAAUUUCAUUGUUUGGAUUUCAUGAUAUAGAAUUUUAAAUGAUAAGAAUUUGUAUUUAGACUAACCUCAAUCGAGAGAAUUGACAAAUGACACCUAUUUUGUAAGGAAUUCAAGUUGGGAAUUUAAGUUUUCAAAUUCCACAAUUAUUUUCCUGUGGAAAUUGCUAAUUCCAUUGGAUAAGAAUCUAAACGGGGGAAAUAAUUCUAAGAAAUUAGGAAUUCUUAAUUAUGGAUUAAAUUCCCGAGAAUUCACCCACAUCCAAACACAACAUAAAGAUUUUGUGUUCCCUUUCUUGUUUUUCUUUUCAUAUUAUGUUACAAUUUUUUGAUUUUCGAUUUUCAUUAGGAUUAAGAUUUCCUACAUGUAUCAUGAUGAAAUCGACAAGGAAUAGUUUCUUUUCUUUCCUAAUUUAAAUUUUUUGUGAUCUAUAUAUAUACAAGUCGUUAAAUAUUUGAAGCUCAACAAGAAGGUCAGGAAGAGACUUGUUUUGUUUUUUAGACGUGCCCGUGAUUUGUUAGUUGUUUUUCCGCAGGCAUUGACAACUUCAUAGAUUGCAAAGUGUUAGUCAUAUCAACAAGCUAAACUUCUCCGCUUCGGCAUUCUGUAAGUUCCAUAUUUACUAUUGCUCUCUCUUUAGGCUUUACUUUAAUUUGUUUUGUUAAACCAUUGUGAAUACAUAUAGCUUAUAACUUAGUGAUUACCUAUUCUGUCUUCACAGGUUCUUGAGCAAUAAUUCAUUACCUAAUUGGGUUGUGAGUUGGAAUGGGGUCAGAGGGAUCAUUGCAGCGUACAGGGUCCUCGAGGAAACAUGAUGAGGAAACAUUGGGCUCUUCCCAUUCCAAGUUACUUGACCAUAAAAGGCCAAGAGUCUCUGCCAUUCGUGAUUUUGCGCCAGGGUGUGGACGAUCUACUCACUUCACAACUUCAGUUGGUAGUUCUGAUGAUAUGGCUAGGGAACAUCAUGUCCCUGCCGUUCGUGAUUUUCCCCAAGGAUGCGGACCAUCUGCUCGCUUGACAACUUCAGUUGGUACUUCUGAUGUGGCUAGGAAACAUCAUGUAGGAGCCGUUCGAGAUUUCCCUCCUCAAUGUGGAACAAGUGCGUCUCAGGAGGCCAGAAACUUUGAUCGAGAGGCGCAGUCAGUUAAGGGUGACAAACCAUCAACAUCAUCAAACACUGACAAGACUAAUGUGUAUCGUUCAUGGUGGACAGGAAAAGUUGCCCACAGAUCUAAACCAAAUGGAGAUAUUGGCCCAAUAAAAAAGCAACCUGAAGCAAAUCGUCAGCCAGAAAGAUCUCGGAAUGACUCGGACAAUACUAGAGGAAAGACUACUCAAUUUAGUGCUGCUAGCCUUCGUAACAACAACACAUCUCUCAUCCGAACGAAAGUGACAGAGACACUGAGUCGGUUCAGAGAUCUUUGUAUCGAGAUUGAGCGUAAGAAGUUGAGGGAAGGAGCAGCAAAUCCGAGAAGGAUAGAUUUUGAAGCUGCAAAGAUCCUCAAGAAAGAAAGAGGAUACGUUAAUACAGGCUCACAAAUAAUGGGAGAUGUACCAGGUGUGGAAGUUGGUGACAUUUUUCGUUACAGAAUUGAGCUCACCAUUGUUGGGUUACAUCGCCAGAUUGAAGGUGGGAUCGACUAUACACAUUUUGGUAACGAGUCGCUUGCAACUAGCAUUGUGGCGUCUGGGGGGUAUGCAGAUGAUACGCAUGACUUGAACUCCCUAACUUACACCGGCCAUGGAGGAAGCGUGAUGCACCAUAACCUCCCAGAGCAUCAAGAGCUUAAACGCGGGAACCUGGCUUUGAAGAAUAGUAUCGACGCGGAGAAUCCUGUUAGAGUGAUACACGGGUCUGAGACUUCCGGUGGAAGAAAGCAGUAUGUUUAUGUUGGACUAUAUUUGGUGGAGAGGUGGUGGAAGGAAACGGGGGAUCAUGGAAAGAUUGUUUACAAGUUUCAACUGAACAGAAUUCAGGGCCAGAGAUCGAUCCCUUGGUUGAUAUAACAUAUGAAUUAUUGGUGGUGCAACAACAUCUAGCUAGCUGACAGUUGAAUAAUUUUUGCUGUUCAUCGACACAAUUUGUCAUCUCUUCAUUACUCGUUGAUGGUUGUUGUACCAGUACUGUUCUUUCUUAGUUUGAUUCUGCAGCUGAUUUGCAGCCUUUGUUUCUCACAGAAAUUUUCUAAUUUCUGUGAUGCUAUUGUUUCAAUCAAGACUUCAAGGCCUCGUUUGGUUCAUGAAAAAGAAAGUAGUUGCUACAUUUUUCCUAUGAGAAGGGAAAGAGAAUGGGACUGAAGUUUUCGAAUAACUUUCUAUGUCAUUGGGAAAGCUGAUAACUAAUAUAAUAAAUAUUCUGCUGUGAGUAAUAAAUAUUAAGAAAGAAGAAAGGAAAGUGGUUUAUUUAGAUUUUAGAAUAGUAAACUACAUAUUAGUUACUAACCAAAUAUCAAUUAACAAAAAGGUACAUUAAGCAUAUUAGUAAACAAACAAGGACAAACUUUUACAAAUAAGGACAAAUUGUAAAUGCAUUGCCGUUAUGCAACACGUUAUGCUGUUGCCAUGUGGCAAUGCGCAUUUACAAUUGUGCCCUUCAAACUAAAUGUGCUGCUACUGUCGGCAGUUUACAAACUUCUGCUACUGCGAACUAAAGAAGUUGCUACUGUCGACUGUUUACAACGUUAUGCUACUGCCCCCUGUUUUUACUUUUCUGCUACUGCCCCCUGUACUGUCGGCAGUUUACAAACGUUCUGCUACUGCCUACCGAAUAAGCUGCUACUAUCGACUGUUUACAUACAUUAUGCUACUGCCUUUUGUUUUUACUUUCUGCUAUUGCCAACUAUUUUCAUUUUUCUCUGCUACUACUAUAUUGCCUAUACAUAUAUCAACCAUGGAAUUACUAUAUAUAUAUAUAUUCACUAUUACUGCUGCUAGCCUGCUACUGUAUAUGUCAAUCAUGGAAUCACCUAUAGAGUUGUUGCUACUGCUUUAUAUAUCCACCAUUAAAUCAUUUAUGGAAUAACUGUUACUAGCCUACUACUGCAUAUAUUAACCAUAAACCUCAUUCUUGUUCUAUUCACUCAUGGAAUCUCCUGCCAAUCAACCAAAACCCCCAAAAUUGAAAAUUUUCACGAGCAUUAACAUGCCCAGUCGCAUUCUAAAUCCUUCAAGGUCGCAGGUGACGACAGCGAAGAUCUCGACGUCUCCUGAUCUCUAACCCAAACAAAGAUGAAGCUGACCAUCAUCAAUUCCCACCAAACAUGAACAAAAUGAAAUUGAAUCAGAUAAAAAAAAAAAACAAAGUAAUUGAAGAAGACCCCCAACCAUGUCUCGUCGUUGGUGAGGCAUUAGUGUUGGAAUCAGAUCUGAUGCACAGAAAAAGUAGUUGAAGAAGAUGCCAAACUUGUUUCGUGGAGGCGUUGCCGUCCUCGUCGCGUCAGCAGCUUCGUUGUCUAGGAGGCAACGCUUCUUGAGAGAGAGAGAGAGAGAGAGAGAGAGAGAGAGAGAGAGAGAGAGAGAGAGAGAGAUAAGAAAAGAAGUAGGAGGAAGGGAAGGAAGAAGAGAGAGAGAGAGACGANAGAUAGAAAAGUAAGAGAGAGAGAGAGAGGAAAAUUAAAGAUGAGAGGGUAUUAUGAUCAUUUGAUAGGUAAAAUUCGGAUAAGGGCUAAUGCCAUUAGUUUUGGGCUUGGGUUGAUGUCUUAAAUUGUAUAAAAAUUACUAGAAGUGGGUUUUUGUGUUUUAAAUUUGGUCAUAUGCUACUAUGUAAUUUACUCAUUUUAGAAUGAACUAUUUUUCCCCAUAAUUUCCCUUCAGCUAGGAAAGUGGUUCCUUUUCUUUUGUUUGCCCAAACACAGAAAAUGAACAACUUUUAUUUCCUGAUGCCUACUUUCCUUUCCAGAUUUGAUGUUAGACUAUGUGAGUAUGUGUAUUGGUUUUUUUUGUUUUUUUUUUUUUUCACUCACAUACCCUUACAUAUGUCAGUGAGAUUUGAAUCUAUAAUUUUAACGUUGUUGGUUAAACUACCUAACCAACCAGACCAUGGCUCACAGACAACUAUGCAUAUUGGUAGGGCUGGGCACGGGCCGAGACCGUCCUACUUUUCAUAGGGACCGGGCUCAAACCGGUAACAGUACAACCAAGCCGGUCUUUACAUCAAAAAAUUUGGGGCCCGGGGAAAGCCCGGCCCGGUAAAAGCCCGAACCGGUUUGGUCGGGUUUCAGGCCUGUUUUGCUUUCAUCGAGAGGAAGAGAAGAGAGGUACCUGAGCGUGAGAGCGUCUAAUUCUCAAGAGGUAAACCCACAAUCAAAAUGAAUCGAUUGGAAUUUGAAAACCACAAUCACAAAAUCAACAAAGUUCAUCAAAGCACCAAUCUUUCAAAUCCAAUUAAAAAGCCAAUUUACCAUAAUCACAAAGCAAGCAAAUUUCAGGGCUUAGUUUGAAGGUACCUAAGACUUUUGUCGUUGAAGGUGACGGCGACAAAGCCCUCUUCUGCCACGCGGAGCUGCCACCGGAAUCGUCGCGUCUUCCGCCUUUUCUGCUGCCACGGCGACUUCCGUAAUUUGUGAGCGAACUCAGAACUCGGCUCGUUGCACGGGAGAUGUGCGCUGGCGUCGCCGAGACUCACGAGGCCCGCAGGCGGCAGGCGUCGUCGAGAGGCACGGAGGCGCGGAGGGCGAAGGGUGAAGGGCGGAGGCAUCUAGAAGAGCAGCGUCUCUGUUUCGUCUCUCAGGUCUCAGCGUCUCUGUUUGGUUUAAACUAUGAAGUUUAGGACUUUUAGGUUUGACUUUACACUAAAUGGACUAAUCAUGUGUGGUUGAGCCUAUCUUACUAGUAUAAGAUUGCUAAAAUUAUCUAAUUGUUGAGUAACACAUACGUAGGUCGGGCUUUCGGGCUUAAAAACUUUUGUAAAAUUAGGGCCGGGACCGGCCCGAGUAUAGUUGGGCCCAGCCCGAAAUGACAGAAAAUAAAUGAGGGCCCGUAAAAAAGCCCGGUCCGGUCCGGUCUUUUUUUUCAUUUCGGGUUUUAUGCCCACCCCUACAUAUUGGUAAAAUAGUUUGUUGCAAUUUGAACAUUUUGCAAGAGAAAUUAUUCUCUGUACCCGGAACACCAUGUGGCACUGCCAUGUGGAGUUUCUAGUCAAUCAUAUAACUCAAUUUCUUGUGGGGACCAAUAGGAGGGUGAAAAAUAAAAGAGGUAAAUAAAUAGACCAAUCAGAAAUAAAAUAAAAACACUUGGAGCAAUAGUAUUAGAGGAGACCAAAUGUCACAUGGUAUUUCGGGUACAGUUUAUAAUUUCUCCAUUUUGCAAUACUCUGUAAUCUAAUUAACGAACUUCGGGUUUGUCAUGCAACUUAACAGAGUAAAUAAAGUGGGGUUUGUCUAUAGAACACUAGUAUGUCACUAUUGCAUACGGCAAAAUAGGGAAGGAUAUCUCCACGGUUCUCACUUCUCACCACACCAAGUUUCCAUUGUGUGAGGUAACAACCUUUUGAAUCAAGAACUAAGCUAAAUAUCGUUUCAAGAAACAAACAAACAAAAAAAAAAAAAAAAACUAGAUACUGUAUGUUAACGAAACCUUAAUUAUUAACACCCAAAAAGGGUCACUAUCUCAAUGGUACAGUAGUACAAUUGGGUGUGAUUGGUGUCAAAUUUCUUGAAUCAGGAAUCAUACAAAAUAAGUUUACUUGACCUACAUUUAUGAACAAAAAGAAGAAAAAUUCAAUGUGAUAUGUCAUCACGGUACCGAGUUUGAAUGUUUGAUAUCCACUAAAAGAAUAUUUUCGUUUUAUAGGCUUUCUUCGAGUACUUGUCUUGCUAAAAUUAGGUAACAUCAAAAACCGAAAGUGAUGGUAAUUUAUGAUCAUAGAAAGCGCAAGCGAUAGCGAAUAGAUGGUAAUAGUUGGCAAUAGAUAUGCAGCUCCAUUCAGUGGUGGUUGAAAGUGAUUGCUUACAAGCUGUACAAGUAAUUAACUCCCCUAAUCAAGACUUGUCUUCUCUAAGGGUCUAGUGAGUAGCAUUACUAAUUGCUGUGUAAUUUAUGUUUCUAGACUAGCUAAUGCGGUAGCUCACAAGUUUGCCAAUUUUGGAUAUGAAAAUAAUGGCCAAAUGGUUCACUACAGCUCUUCAGUUUGUUCAGGAUGCCCUCAUGUACGAUAUUCGUACUCAUUAAUAAAUUUCUUUCUCCUUUAAGAAAAAAAAUGGUAAUAUAGGUCGGCGGAAUUGAGAUCACCAAUGAAAAUGUAGUGAGGACAAAACAGAAAAACCUUAAGCAAAGACUUUACGAAAGAUAUAUUUUAGGGGAAUUUUCAUAUACAUCCAAUUUUGAAGAGUGGUUUUAAAUAAAACCCACUUAAUAUUCAUAUCUGAUAGACAUUUAAAAUGUAUUAAUUAUGAUAAAUAUUAUGUCCUAUUUUUUCUAAAUUUUACACAAUUGCCACCAUUCAAUUAUAACAUAUUAAUAUAAUAAAUAAGUUUAAUUGAUGUUGUUUUAAAUACCUUGAUUAUGAGUUUUUCUUCUAACACUAACAUUUUUCAAUCAAUUUGCAAGAAUCAUAUAGUUUUCUUUAUUUUUAUGAAAAAAAUCUAGAUUAAAGGAAUUCAUUCUCUAAUCUAUACAUGAGGUAAAAUAUAAUAUGAAUAAAAUAUCUGAUCUAAACCCUAAACCCUAUAACCUAUACCCUAUAACCUAAACCCUAAACCCUAAACCCUAUACCCUAUACCCUAAACCCUAAACCCUAUACCCAAUUUUGAGCUUCUUUUUUUUAGGUAUAUUAUCAUAUCAUGCCCUACUUAAUAGGUACAUUAGAAACGUAAGUUGUAGAGAGUAAAAUGUUAUCUCGAUUAGGAUGAGAAAUGAUAUAAUAAUAUACAUAAAAAGAAGAAAAUUAAUCAAAGAACAAUAACGUGUACCUUAUAAUUAGACAUUUUUCGACUAUGUAGAGAGACACCAAAUAUGAGCUUAGGAAUGAAAAGUAUCAUCCUAUUACAAAUGACAUACUUUUGUAUAUAACAUAUAUAUAUACACUCAAGUUAGUAAUAACAAGGUAAGAAAUUAAAGAAUGUAAUUGAUUAUGACAAAGUUAAAUCUAACUAAAUUUUAGCUAGUAUUUGAGUUUCAAAUUGAUGCUAAAAUUGAGAAAUAUACCAAAUUUAGCUUUCUAUAGUCUGAAGGGCAAAUUAAGAAACCGAAAAAUGAAGAAAACUAUUAAUUAUAGACAUUUUCUCUAUAUGGUAUGUUUGCUUAUGUAGAAUGGGUGUAAAAUAAAAAAUAUAUAUAUGUAUGGGUUUAUCUUAAAAAAUGUCUAAUAUUUUAGGUUUUUAUCUAAUUUUCUCUAUAUUUUAUGAAACUAAGAAAGAUCGUGAAGAUUAGGUGUGCGUUAGUGCAUCAAUAAGUGACCAAAAUAACCCUGCCCAACGGUUCGGAUAAAGCUAAAUCCAACAUGAAACUCGUUCCUAUACACACGUAGCUGACUCAGCUGACUCGGUUUGGAAUGUACAAAAGCUACUCCACCCUCUCCAUUUUCAAUGCCUCGUUUUCUCUGCAAUCUUCAGUGAGACACAUAAAAUUUUGCUGGUGAGCCACAGUCCGGUUGAUUAAGUAGGUUAACUGACAACUUUAAGGUCAUGGUUCAAACUUUAUUGGUAUAUGUAAGAUGCGUGAGUUACUUAAAAAAUAUUCUACAGUGACAGAAUUAACAAAAUACUUGAAGGAUACCAUAUUAAUUCAGGGUUCUUUUUUAAUGAAAUUAGGAUUUCAUUUUUCCGAGUCAUGUCCGUUUGUUUCAAUUGAAUCAUUCACCAACAAAUAAUGGAACUCAGAUUAUGUUGCUCAUUUACAGCUUGCCAAUUCUAAUUUUGAGGAAGUUCCUAUAUUUCCAAUAACUGGUAUUUACCAAUUAAGUAACAAGUGGAAGGCAAUUGGAAAGUUAACAAAUUGAACCAAGUAUCCCAUUCUCACUUUCAUUCCAGCUGUGUGCUGCAUCUAUGAUCGCUUUCUGGGUUGGUUGUUGCACUUGUUUGUCAUGAGCUAUGUAAGAGAGUGUUUGUUUCUGAGCUCCAUACCAUGAACUUUGUCCUCUUUGCUCAAUUAUUCCUCGGAUCAGUGAUGCUUACUCUGGACUAUGGCAAUGACGAAGUGACAUAAACUUGAGCCUUUGCUGCUGAUUCAUUUGAAUUUGCUGCCAUAAACUUCAGUGUCAAUUGCUGACUCGUUUGGUGUGGUAGGAUACUGGUGUGAAUAUGGUGACCCUGAAUGAGACUUUGUUUUAGGGGAAAAUUUCAAGUGAUCAUCCCUUCUCCUCCUCCCUAUAAGGCUCACCAGCCAACCUGAGAUGGUUCAAGCACAAAAUGGAUCUUUUUGGAGUAGCGGCAUUAGGCAGCGACAAUACCUUGGGACAAUUUGUUGGUUGUAAAAUCGUACCCAUAACCUUUUCAAGUAACGCCAACUAGCGUUUAGUUGUAAGACAUUUCUCUUCGGUAAGUAAGUAUUGGCCGAUCGGUACAUGCAAGUUCGAUUUUCCCUACCAUCAGUUGAAAAUAACGUGACAUAUAAAUUUUUCAUAUAUAAAAAUUGGCAUAAAAUUUGCUUUUAUUAAGAAAAGGCCAUCAUCUGCAUCUUGGUGAGACAAUAUGGGAUAGGUGUGGCUUAUGAUGAACCAAAUCUAUAAAGGAUUAGGUUGCAGAAAACGUGGGUAAUACCAAAUAAAGAACGAACGAAAUUGUGGUAUUUGAGUCCAUGGAGGGAUGUGUGGAGUGUAGACAUUGGUGUGCUUAAGCAUUGAAGGCAUUCAUGCAUUAUGCCAUAGUAGUCUUUUGCAGCUCGAGCUUCUAAUAUUAAUGGAGGUGAAUGAGAUUUAGAUCACAAAAAUAAAUUCAUAAUUCAUCUCUAGCCAUAGUGGUCUUGUUUCUAUCUCUAGGUAGGCUAAUUAAUCAAGUUGCACUAAGAAACAACGCAUAAAACCACAUUUGAACGCCUAGUGUCACUUUUAUUAAUUUUUAGUUGAAACCGAAGGAUCAAACGUCUGAUCUGGCCUAAAUCUAACUGUAUUUUAGAUUUUUUAAGGUCUUUCACUAUCAUUAAUUUAUCUUCUGAAGUAUAAUAGGACACAUUAGAUAUUAGACAUGCAACCAGAAUAGUAAUUAGCAAGUAGGGGACUCGCGAUCGACAUCAUUAUCAUAUGAUGAUAAUGAUACUUGAGAAACUGACAUUCCCAAAACAUAUACAAGAUCACAGGCUUUUGUUAGAAUCGAUGAAGUAAUUUAGGGUUUAUAUCUAAAAUUAUGUGAGAUUCAUAUCUCAACACGUCCCACCACGUGUGUGAAAUUUUUAAGUCAUUCACAUAGACAACUAGUGAACUAUUGGGUGAUAUGGAGUCCGUGUGGCCAUUAGGCAUUCACAUGUGGACAUGAGUAACCAGCUCUAAUACUAUGAUGAAGUAAUACAUAAAUCACAUCCACAACUAAAUGAUAAUAGAUGGAAUAACUCAAAGUCUCAAACCUUAUAACCUCAAAAGGCAACAUUUCAUAUUUCCCGUGUGGUAUUCAUAUCUCAACAAGAACAACUAGUUCUCUGUGAUAAUUUUAAGUUGCCUGUUGUGCAAUCUUGUUGCUGAAGAAUUAAGUAGUAGUAGUCAUGCUAAGCAGGCAAAACAUAUAACAAUAUUCUGCUCCACAAGCUCUGUGUGGGAGGAGCCUUUGCUGUUACACAAUGCAAGUUGCCUUUUCGAAAUGGUCUCUGAUAAUGUAGGUAUGGCUCAAUAAUUUAAGUAAUGAAUUCAAUACCGGCCUCUGUCAUUAAUGAAUUCAAUGCCGGCCGAGCUGAUCCCUUUAAUGUAUCUUCAUGACUGAUUUUCACCAAAAUGUAACUAGUACUCACCCAGAGAAUCUUAGCAUUUGUUACUAGAUUCAUCUAAAGCUACCCUCUAAUUGUAUGACAGAUUUGGCAACAAAUUCUGCGCUCAAGUAUUUGUUGAAAUGGCUCUGAGGAUUUCUUGUUACUGAACUACGUACCAUAGCUAUAAUACAUAAUUACAUAUAUGCGUUUAUUCGUUUCCAGAAACUUGUACAUAAAUUGUGAUGAAUCAGAUCAAAUCAAUCAUAGAGAUAGAUUAAUGAGAUUGAUACAGAAACAUAAUAGAAUGUAUUAUAUAUUUUCAGCACUAACUCGGAAAUUAGUCCUCCAAAUUAGGAACUGUAACAAUCACUGAAUAAGCACCCUCCCGAUCAGCUGAUGAUGGCACUGCCAUAACAACUCCACCAGAAAUGAAUCCAAACCAAUACGAAACACUAGCCGGCUUAUUCCCUUCACGAAAUCCGACCUCCUUUGCCCCGAAAAAAUCCCAUCCCGCUUCAGCAAUUCCCUUAAUUUUUGGCUUAGCAAGUCCUUCUUUUCGAAAAUUCUCAACCUUGACUGCACUGCAGGAUGAGCUGUUGAUCUUCACAAACAAUUUCCCAAAACCAUACUUGCUCUCUGCUUCUUCAACACAAAUUUUCAAUGCAUCAUCGUUCUCCGAAUCCACAUUCUCAGCUGCAACAUUGAAAAUCAUUGUCUUGCCACAUUUUUUGCUAGGAAUAGAGACAAAUAUAUUGUUGGCAGACUUUCCAUUUUUGCCAACAUGUCGGAAAUUAUAAAAGGGUGUCACAGUUAGGCUCUUGUCUGAAAGCAGAUUGUGGUGGAUAUUAGCCCAUUUCUUGAGAAAAUUUUCUUUGAACAAAAGAUCUGCUAGAAGAACACUGCAGCUAAUUCCUAGUGAACUCCCUCCACACUGAAAAUAUGUCACCUGAGAAAGGAAAAAAUAAAAAGGGCUGAAGUGAUUCAAUAUAUCCCAAAAAAGAAGGAAACAAGAAAUAAGUACCUGAACAUAAAAGAGAGGAGAGUACUGAGGACUAUGUUCAUCAAUCGUUUUCCAAAACACAAGUUCAUCUUCUGCAUCCUCCCUGCUGGACUUGUAAGACAGAAACUCAGCCAUGGUCAUCGGAGUACGAGCUUCGAUGAGUCUAAUGCCGCUGUCAUUGGCCACAACCUCCAGCUCUCCACUAUCAUUCACACGAAAUCGGCCAGCAAAUAGCGGUUGCUCCACCAACGCCCUCGAAAGGGACUCCUUGAUCCAGCCGGCAUGGAGCCAACUUGAGUCCUCUUGGGUUGCUUUUGUGUAGUAGAGAAGGAUGUGCAGGCAGUUUUGGAAUAUUCCCAAACUGAUCGGGUCUGCGGCCGACACGGCAAGUGUCGGUCGCGGAUCGGUGAUCUUGAAGGGUGUUAUAGUCUGGACGGAUUCAAUGUGUGCUUUUGGGAGGAGCGUGGUGACACCACUGGAAAUUGCCAUUUUGAGAGGAACUGCUAGAAAGCUAUUACCAAAGAACAAUGUAGCAAGCACUCUAUUAAUAUAUGCACAGGCAGGGGUCGCGUGUGUGAUUACCUAACAUGUUCGUACAUAUAUUUCUUUGCAUGAAAAUGAUUGGUUUCUCAUUUUACUUGGCAUACAUUUGGAUCCCAUACAUUUUGAUAUGCUUCUUUGGUCUCAUGAAGGACUUUUGGCUGCUCUUUUUGUUGCAACACCUUUAAAUUCUAACCACUCAUUGAAGUAUUGAACUGUUUGAUAGUUACUAGACAAGGUUCAACACAUAUCCCCAAAUUUGGCUAAAAUUAAAAAACAAAUUUACCAUUUUGGUGUUUUUGUUGAGAAUAUAAAGGCCGAUCUUGAAUAUUCAGCAGUUCAAAAUGCCAUAAAUUUUACAUUUAAUUGUUUGGGGCCUUAAGUUUGAACUUAUUUGAUUGACCAAAGGACUCCUUCUGCCCACGGCAAUCAGAGAAUGAUCUUGGGCUGGGCUGGAGGGUCGUCGUCCGGUAGUUUGGGGCUGGGUCGUAGAGGAUGAGGUGACGGGUCAGAGCAGGCAAAGAACAACGACGAUAGGAGGCUAGAAGCCUUUUAUUUGGGAUGCCCACUUUAGUAGGUGCCUUGAGUAGAAGUAGGGUUGCGCUUAGGCUAAGGCCGGGCUUCUGAAUCCCGACCGAGUUUGGAUCCAGGUCCGGCCUUUUCUUGGAUUUGGAAUAUGGCUGUCAGAACAGUUGGGUCUGGGUCUGGAGCUGUUUUGGAAUUUUUUUUGAUUUUCAUUUUAUGUUUAGUUUAUUUUUGUUUUUACUUUCUAUAUUUCAGUACUUUUAAGCAAGGCAUCAAUGUAGUGUGCAUGAUGAAUAUCAAUGAUCUGUUACAGAUUUCUGGUACUUAUGCUAUCGCAGCUUUUAAUCAAGCCAACUCGGUGGCUCUGCAUUUAGAAUCCUUUAUGUCUUUUAAUUCUGUAACAUUUUUUUUAGAAAAAAAAAAGGGAAUUGUAUUGCUUCAUCAAUAUCCGAAAGGCAUUGCCCAGUACCAUUUGAUCUUAGUGGCAGAAGUAUUUCCUUGUAAGUGAGAGGUCAUGUAGUUUUUUUUUUUUUUUUAAGUUUUUUAUUAAUAACUCACACACCUUACGUAUGUCUGUGAGAUUUGAACUCAUAACCUCAAAAUUGUCAGUUAAACACCCACUACCAGGACAAGCACUUUAGCCGACGAAAAAUUUUCGUCGGCCUGUUAUAUUAAUUCGUCGGCUAAGAUCUUAGCCGACGAAGGCUCGUCGGCUAUAGUGUCGUCGGGAAAAGCUCGUCGGUGAUGACUUUAGCCGACGAAAUUUUUUUUUUCGUCGGCUAUAGUCCCACAGUUAGCCGACGAAAAACAUGUCGUCGGUUUUUUUCCCAGACUUUAGCCGACGAAACAAUUAAUAUAUUCGUCGGCUAAAUUGUGUAAUAAAUAAUUAAAAAUAACUAUAGCCGACGAAAUUUACUAUAUUUCGUCGGCUAAACCUUAUAAAAAUUUAAAAAAAUAACUAUAACCGACGAAAUAUACUAUAUUUCGUCGGCUAAAACCUUAUAAAAAAUUAAAAAAUAACUAUAGCCGACGAAACAUGCCAUAAUUCGUCGGCUAAACCUUAUAAAAAAAUUAAAAAAUACUAUAGCCGACGAAUAUAGUGUUUAAAUAUCGUCGGCUAAAGUUUCUGGGUUUUGAAAAAAAAAACUGCAGAAACUUUCGGCCACCUCCAAUCACGACCAAAAUUUGACAGAAUCUUCCUCUCAACAUUUCGAACAACUUUAUAGAAGAAAUCGAAGCUCAAUUCUAAGCCUAAACAGGUCAAUCGACUCAAAAUAUAAAAAUCCCCAAUUUUAAACCCUAAAAACUUCAAAUCUUCGAUUCUCUUCACACACACCGAAUCGAGCUACCAAAUUCUAGGGGAAUGUAGUACUAAUCAAACUCAACUUAUCCAUAUAUAGAACUCACCAAAUGGUGACCUAAGGAAGGAGAAAUUUGAUCGACACCGAAUCCGAACCGGCGGAGUUUUGGAGCUCGAUUUAUCCCUCACGGCGGCGCCACUCGAUGCACCACCUAUCCAGCAAUGAAGUAGAGACGACGGCGAAGCUUUUGGGACUAGUGUGACGGUCUCCGGUGGCUUGACGGCGGAGCAAGGCCGAGAAGAAAAUCUGGCAGAUAAUAGACUUCUUACCAUCCAUCUUCGCCUAUAUAAAGAACUUUAGCCGACGAAAUUCUUUAUUUUCGUCGGCUAAACUCUUUUGAAAAUUUUGGUUGACCGCCAAAAAAUUUUGGUUGAAAAUUUUGAAAAUUUUGAAAAUUUUUCGACUUUAGCCGACGACUUUUCAUAUAUUUUCGUCGGCUAAAGUCCUUUGAAAAUUUUCCUCCAACUUUGGUUUACCGCCUAAAAAAUUUUGAAAUUUUUUGAUCUUGGCCGACGACUUUUCAUAUAUUUUCGUCGGCUAAAGUCUAUAAAUUCACGAAAACGCUCAUAUCUCCCCCUAUAUUACGUAAUUUGGUCAAACCUUCCACACCAAAAACUCUCACGUAGAUGAGACGCAACUGCCCAUAUAAAAAUUUUGAGACAUUUACCUUCCGACGAUAGGGCUCCCCAUAAGGAAUAAUAACGGUAAAUAGGGUUGACCGCUACUAUCGGCUCCGAGACUUUACCCGAUUUACGUGAUUUUUGAACCAUAGCCGUAUUUCACCAUUCUGAACACAUCUUAUUUCACGAGAUUUUUCAUAAUUUUGCUUCCUAUGUAGAGUUGGUUCACAAAGUUGUAUAACCAACUAAACAAGUUAUACAACAUUAGUAAACACGUUGUGAUUCCGAUGACUAAAAUUCACAAACCAAAAUUCGACCGUCAGAUAUGAUCAUUAUGACGAAAUAUGUCUAUGGUAAAAAAUUCAACUGGAUCCGACAACGUUAAGGGCUCGAUCGAAACGGUCAACCAUAAUCCAUCGUCACUNNNNNNNNNNNNNNNNNNNNCGAAAAUUUUAAAUUAGCCGACGAAAAAAAAAUUCGUCGGCUAAAGUGGACUUUAGCCGACGAAAAAAAAAUUCGUCGGCCUGGUUUUUUAUUUUCGUCGGCUAAAGCCUUUCUUCUGGUAGUGACCUUAACCAACCAAGUCACGGCUCAUUGACAGAGGUCGUGAGUUUGACUCACAAUAUACUUGUUGUAGCAUAUUAGUUGUUUAUUUGAUAAAAUAUAUAUAUAUAUAUAAAUAUCCAAAAGACACUUAUCAAGUACCAUGACAAGUACAUUUAUUGAUUACAAAUAUGCUCAUAUAGAGCCCGCAACCAAAAAAAAAAUCUUACUACAUAAAUCACUGUAACAGAAUAUCAGCUACCUAAUACCUCAAUCGGUAUGCACCUAAUAAGCUUAAGAAAUAAGUAUUAAAACUGACGUUAAUGCUCAAGCUGAGAACAACCCAAGACCUGCGUCUUGCCCAUGCUCUUAGCAUUAGGGCAAGCCUUAUCACUAACACUAGUUGCAGUCAGCCCAAACCCAUAUCAGUUUCAGCUGAAUCCACCUUAUCGAGCCCACACUCACACCCAUCCGACCCAACAAGUGGGAGUCCAAACACCAUAUCCAGCACAGCCAACUCAGCCACAAUUAACCCUAGGGUAGGGUGUCCCGUCGAGCCAGGCUCUCCGGCGGCUUUCUCGACCAUCAUGAAAAUUGUGUUACCAAGCCUCGCUUGAAGGAUCUUCAAUCCAAUCUCUAAUGAAGCCAUAUAGGUCUGCACCGAACUUACAACCGCCACCACAGUUAAUUGCAACUCGUAACCUCUAUUUAGGACUUCAACCUCCAUCGCAGCCAUAGAUUCGGGCCAACACGAAGGUUCUCAACCUUUCGCAAACGAAACUCCGACGAAGGACGCCGAAACACGUCCACCUACAACACCCUCAACAGAACGCCACUACUGGAACCUUAUGAAAAGCUUGGUCGGCGUUGCCGCCAUCUUGCCAUUGUUGGAACGACGAAGCACAAGGUUAGUCGCUACGUCCAUGAAACCUAGGUUUCGUAUUGCCAAGGCACUUCGUAAGAGACGGAGCAUAGGCCUUAUUCAGCUAGGCUCUCCAACUUUACGUUUUAUUUUAUUUAUGAUGGAACUGUUAAAGAGUUUAUUUCUAUUUGAUAAAGGUUGUCAACUAGCUUCGAAAAAUAGUAAAAGAUAGCUUAUGGUUUACGAAAAACUGAGUUUAUAUAUGCCGUAUUUUAUAAAUUCCCUCUAUUACUUUUGUAUGUGUUGGGUGAUUGUUGGAGGACCAUAUUCGAUAUAUUUUCCUUGAUGGAGGUAGGAUUUCAUUGUUGGAGGACGGUACGAAGUGGCAGUUGGCCAGUCUAUGUGGUUGAUUGAAUGUCACCGGCCGGUACCUUACAAUUUUGAGGUACACAUGAAACGAAUGGCAUUUUCACUUAAAUAAAUGUAAAAUUGGAUUUUGGGGUCUAAUUAACACCUAACUGCCCUCUACCCCAAAAACCUGUGGUGUCUAAUCUCACAAGAUGUACUCAUGUUGUUUACAAUCUUGGCAUAUUUAGGUUGCAGGUGUAACACAUAGACCGUGUAAUAGACAAACAAAAAUAAGGAUGAGAUAGAUAACACCCUAAUUUCUUUUUUUCUUCGUGGGGUUUGCAAUAAAUUGAAAUAUGAGUUUGGCAUCAAUAGUCGGUCAGGAGGUCUCAAUCACUGCAUUAACUAGAAAGUAUAUAAUUAUUUUCUUGACAAUAACUCUAAAGAUAUAGCAAAUGGAAAAACUAUGCAUAAUAUGCAUCACCCCUCCUACUUAAAAUUAAAAUUAAAAUGUAUAGAAAAAAAAAAUUAUCUCUUUUCUAAUAUCAAAAAUAUUAUUCAUUACGUUGGAGCCACUAGAAGUCAAUCUCUCUCGUCGGAUUUAAGAGCUCCUAGUGACAUGUACAUAUUGUUAUUAGGAGCAUAAAAGAGAAUGUGAUUGCAGUUCUAGCGUUAUAUUAAAGACAUUGUUUUCUUUGUUUUUGAACAAUAAGGACAUUGUUAUCUAUCUUGAUUUGUGUUUCAUUUUUCUUUUCUUUUUCUGUGUGGCUAGAAGUUGGGAACCGAGUAGACGCAAAUAGGCAAAUAGCCUUCUUGGUUCCAGAUUUUAUUAAAAGAAAGAAAGAUUACAAGAGGAGAGGAAAUGAAACAACACCAAACAUCUUAAGUGAACAAUUAAGUUAUAAAGGACAUGGCUUCUCUGCUUGGAAAAUAUAGUGUUUGGAUCUGCUUGGGUUUCUAACAAGAUGCCACGUCAUUGUUAAUCCAUCCAACGCUUCAGAAUUAAAAAGGGGUGUAAAACUAAGUUGCUUCAGAAAAGCAGUUGAUAAUUGUCUCUCUCUCAUCUCUUCCUUUCCCGGCAGAAGUCUAUGCAGCAGUCUCACCUGCAAAAAAAAACUCUAGAUAUCUUCUUCACUAACUUCUUUCCUGAUCUAGAAGAUUAACGUAAAUGAAAUCAAUUGGGUUGAGAGUCUCAUCUCCUCCAAUUAAGACGAAUAAAACUCCAGAGUUUAGAAACUCGUAUACAAUGACCCAUCACCCAUAGAUUGACGAGGCUCCACCCAGAAAACCAAAACAAUUAAGAAGAAUGAUGAAUCUGUAAGCGAACUUCAGAUUUACAAUCACCCAUGCCUUAGAUUUGAGGAACCUUUCACCCAUGAAGAGAUCUCGAUUAAUCCUAAUAGCAUCAAACCAGAAACAAAAUUCUUUCUCUUAUUUAUAUGAAUGACACCUAUUUUGGGGUGGACUGAUUCACACAAAAAUCAAGAUUUGUAUGAGAAAGAACGGGAUAGUAUGAGAGGGAGAGAGAGAUCCGGUGCUUCACAAGAAGGUUUGCAAUUUUUAAAGUCUUGAUUUUAGCUUUUGGAUUGUACUAUAGUGAUGUGUCACUCUCUUGUUGAACCUCAAGUAGAUCAAAGCAAUUAAUUUUUCAAGCAGAGAAGACAUGUCCUAUAAAAAAAAUUAAAAAAAUUAUACAAAUCAACUAUUAAAAAUGAAAAUAAGAUAAACUUAAACGGUCACUAUUAUAAUGCGUCUGGAAGAAUGAUGAAUAUACAAGUUUCACCACAUAUCAAACUAAAUGAAAAUAAGAUAGACCUAAAUGGUCACCAAAAUUUUCCUUCCUGAUGUUAUUCCAAAUUUUCUUGUAAGAUUUAUGAUCUGGGACAAUUGUAGGCUUUCUGGUCUAUUGUCAUACACUGGAUUACGUUAUGGUCAAAUUGGUGGCAACAAUCCACAGCCAUUUGCCUCACGUCUAGUCCCACAAGCCAAAGACCAAAACCCAACUCCAAGCCACAAAUCUUUCCCGGGUAAAAUUGCAUCCACUAAUUUUCCAUGGCGGGUUGGCUGACCAACACCUCCUCCUUCACUCUCAAACUCUCUCAUACUACUAUCACUUCUCUGCGACUCCCGCGAGUUACACAUAAACACAAUCUGACCAACAAUGGGAAUAGUCUCUUUGUCCCUAGUUCUUCACAGCCGACUUGUUUCACCAUACCAUUCUCAAACUAGACCAAUUCGUCUUAGUCAAUCUAAUUGGUUCCAAGCUCCAAUCCCAGCAAGAACCAAACACACUUCUUUAUCAAUCAUCAGAGCUCAAUCUGGUGCCCGCAAGGAGGAAAUUGUCAUAGUUGGCGCUGGAAUCGCCGGCCUUGCCACCGCUCUAUCUCUUCACAGGUAACAUUGGUUUCGGGACGUUGAGUUAUGUUGUGAGACUGUCAAUCUAACCCCGGCAUUUUACCAAAACUUUGCUAAGCAAACUUUCACAUUUUCCGAGGGUAUUACCACCCGUUACAAAUUGCAAGUGUGGAUAUUUUUUUUGGAUCCGGCUCCUCUAAAGUGAGCAAACCAUAAAGUUAGUAAAUUUCAUAAAAUCUCUAACAUCCAUCUAAUCUAAUGGUUCAAAUAUAUCUACGUUAAAUAAAAUCAUUUAUUUGAAAAUCUAUUCACUUUUUUAUAUAAAAAAAAUUUCUCAAAAAAAAAAACAAUAAAAAAGUGGUUGUAUAUCGUGAUAUAUAUCUUCAUCGAUCUUUGAUCAAACGAAUCUUCAUAUCUGAAAUUCUGAAUUGAUAAAUAAACUUGAUGAUCAGCUUUGAAUAGAAAAGAAUAUAUGAAAAGCCUUCAUUUCAUUCAUUCCAAAGUGGUUUCACAAGUUUCUCUUCCUGUAGUCUCUAGACNNNNNNNNNNNNNNNNNNNNNNNNNNNNNNNNNNNNNNNNNNNNNNNNNNNNNNNNNNNNNNNNNNNNNNNNNNNNNNNNNNNNNNNNNNNNNNNNNNNNNNNNNNNNNNNNNNNNNNNNNNNNNNNNNNNNNNNNNNNNNNNNNNNNNNNNNNNNNNNNNNNNNNNNNNNNNNNNNNNNNNNNNNNNNNNNNNNNNNNNNNNNNNNNNNNNNNNNNNNNNNNNNNNNNNNNNNNNCAUUUAGAGUUAUUGUCAAUAUAUAAAAGAAUUUUCUAACAUUUUUUGUAAUGAAUUGAUGCAUGUGGAUAUUUUUGAGCCAUUAGAUUAGAUGGAGGUUAGAGAUUUUAUGAAAUUUACUAACUUUAUGGCUUGCUCACUUUAGAGGAGCCGGAUCCAUUUUUUUUCCUAAUAGUUUGGAUUGUUAGGCUUGGAAUUGGAUCAUUGGUGGUAGAGCAAGCAGAGUCACUUCGAACCAGUGGAACUUCUCUCACCCUCUUCAAAAACGGUUGGAGGGUUUUGGAUGCACUUGGAGUUGGAGACGAUCUCAGAAACCAAUUUCUUGAAGUUCAAGGGUACGGAAAUGUUCAUAAUUUCCUUCUUCAAGCCUUGACCUCACAGUAGCAGUCUGCCAGCAUAAAUUGACUAUUGCCUACUAUGGCCAUUUGGCACAUGCUUAAUCUUGUAGUAGUUUGCAUUGAUAGAUUAAUAGAUAGAAGCAUUUCUUUAGAAUGAACUACUUGUUGAGACUUCGGAGUUGAAGCUUCAACUUCAUAUAAAGCUUUGGAUUCUUCAAAUUACUCAGUUGCCCUGAUCUGGUUCAUGGAAUCAGCUGUGCAGGAUGGUAGUAACAACAGCUGAGGGGAAUGAGCUACGCUCCUUCAAGUUCAAAGAGGAAGAUGAAAGGUAACGAGCUUCAAACUUAAUUCAUCUUCCGUGCUUUUACAGAACAUGCAAAGUUCAAUUCACAAUACUUUGUUCUUCUAACUGAAUCAUGGUUUUCAGCCAAGAGGUGCGUGCCGUAGAGAGGAGAGUACUACUUGAGACUCUUGCCAAUCAACUGCCCCAAGGGGCGGUCCGUUUCUCUUCAAAGCUUGCAAAGAUUGAGAAGAUUGAAGAUGGAGAUACUUUGCUGCAACUUGUGGAUGGUACUCAGCUAUCUGCUAAGGUUGUAAAUGAAUCUUUAACUAGCAAAUUCACGGCUUCUAGGAUAAGUGCCAAGUAUCUCUUUCUCAUGUUUAUGAAUUUCCAACAGAUUGUAAUUGGCUGUGAUGGGAUUCGGUCUCCUAUAGCUAAGUGGAUGGGGUUUCCCGAGCCUAAGUAUGCAGGGCAUUGUGGUCUUCGUGGCCUUGCAUUCUUUCCUGGUGGCCAUAAGUUUGAACCAAAACUGAAUCAAAUCUAUGGAAGAGGGCAGCGUGCUGGCAUUGUUCCUAUUUCUCCUACAAAAGUCUACUGGUUUGUCUGCUUCAACAUGCCAUCUCCAGGUAGAUUACUUGGUCUGAAACUCUGAAGUUUCCAUUUUAAGUUUUCUAGUGUUCUUACGGUGUGGGAUAUUUUAUUACAGGUCAAAAAAUCACUGACCCAGCUGUGCUGAAGAAGCUAGCUAAAGAACUGGUAACAAACUGGCCUUCAGACCUAUUGGACAUCAUAGACCAUACCCCGGAUGACACAAUCAGUCGAACACCACUAGUAGACCGGUGGUUGUGGCCAUCCAUCAGCCCUCCGGCUUCAGCCGGAAGAGUUGUACUGGUUGGAGAUGCAUGGCAUCCGAUGACCCCCAAUCUUGGACAAGGCGCUUGUUGUGCUUUGGAAGAUUCAGUAAUUUUGGCGCGAAAGCUUGCAGCAGCGAUCGAGUCAGGACCAGCAGCCAUUGAAGAUGCUCUCAGCUCAUACGGAAGUGAAAGAUGGCCUCGAAUCUUUCCGCUAACCAUACGGGCAAACCUCAUAGGGUCACUACUGCAAUGGGAGAAUCCUGUUGUGUGUUCUGUCCGGAACAAUGUCAUUAUCCCAAAGCUUGUUAAGCUAGGACCAAUGUUGGAACACACAAAUUUUGACUGCCAACCCCUACAGAAUCAAGUCGUGUAAUGUUGGGGCAAUAUUAAGUUAAAGUUAAAGUUCAUUCAAACCUAAGGGGUAAAGGAAAAUCCAAAAAUGCUUGGAAGUGCCUCGCUGUUAUUGUACAUUCCACCUUAUUGUGUGCAUCAGCUGUCUAGUUGCCUACUCCAUAUACUUCUGUACUAGGAAUUUAGAGAUGUAUAAAGCAACUGCUCAUGUAAAAGUGUGAUAAAAACAGCAUGCAAGCGAACAGUCUUUCAAAUUAAUCCCUCUGGAUAGUAGCCUAGUAAAGCAAUGAAAAAAAUCAAAACUCGAAUGGCAUAGCAAGACUAUCCAUUGAUCAAGUAAAAAUUCCUCAUCUAAUCAGAGUGAUACUGUUGUCGGUAGUGAUGAACUACCUUCUCCGGCCAUAUACUAGUCAAGAAACUUGUAGAUACGAUGUAUAUCUUAUACCGUCAAGCAUAAGCAACGACCUCGUAGACCGUGCUCCGGCCAUGGCGGGCCCCGCCUCCGACAUACUUCCGGUAGACCGACGUCCGGGCUACCCCGCCAUGGUGAAUGAUCAUCAAUGCCACAACAGGAAUGUGCUCCUCCAAGCUCCACAAGAAGGCACCAUGAGAAUAUAUAUGUGUAAUUAGUCCCACAUCAAAAGUAUAAUAUGUGAGGGAACCUUCCUUAGCUAUAAAAAGAAGGCUUCCUAUAUGUAGAAAGCUCUCUCACUCUCUCUAUCUCUCAACUGAUCCAACUUUACUAUUCCACACCUCCACACUUGUAACACCCUAAGGCAUUGAGGCCUCAUGAUAGUAGAUUCAAGUGGACGUAGCCAUGCCCUCCGAUGGUAUGGUGAACCACUAUAAAUGUGGUGUCUUUGUGUAUGUUUAUGUUCUAUCGUACUUCUACAUAGCCUACGGGUUCUUGCAGAAACAGAUACAAAGCAAAUGCAAUUCUGCACUUCUGAAAUGAAUAACUAUCUGAUGGCUUACUUUCUGACUCGACUGUGAAUACUGAAAAGCCUACAAUAAAAAUAUUGUUGAUAGCAAACUAAAUUUUCUGGGUCAUAUCAUCUUACAUUCAUAUAAAUGGCUGACAAGAACUUCUUCUUGAGCAAUAGGGACCGGCUAGUUUUUCUACUCCAACAAUCUUGAUGGGGCUUAUCGGCAUAGAUUGUUUGAUUCCAUGCCGCUCCUUCACUAUCACCAUCAAUCCUCAUAACCUUCAUGCUGCAACAACUGAUUCACAUAAAUUUCUUAGGAUAUACUCAUAGAAGCCACCAUGCAACCAAACAAAAGUGACUAUAAUAAAUAUCCAAAAACUUUUCCAGUUGAAUCAUGAAUGCCUAAAAGCAAUGAAUGAAGCUUCCACAUGUUCCCUACAUUCUGAAUACAAUCACAGACAAAUGCCCGUCACAGUUUCAUGAUGGCAGUGGAAGCAAGUUCUUAUCCAAAAGGAUACCACAAGCCGGCCUAUAACAUUAUAUCAUGAAACAUUCUGCACAUACACUUAAGGAAGAACACAAUAAUAUGUUCCAACAGAACAAAUUCAUGCUAAACACGAAGCUCUAUGAUGAAUCCACAAACAUUGCUUCGUUUCUUCGAGAAAAGUAAUACGUCACUGUUCAGUCUAUCAAGUUUUAAGUAUAUGAACAAGUUUGGUGUCAGAUAUAUGAGUCCAAAAGUCCGGAGAUGAACUAUCCAAGUGAUACGUCCCUGUUUAAUCUUUGAAGCCAAACAGUUCAAAGUUCAAACUACCAACUUCCAACUUAGAACUAACAAAGAACCAAAGAUUGAUGCAUUCACUUAUGACUUAUCUACAUAUCUAAAUCCACAAAUCAUGAACCUUUGCAAUCCAUAUCUCAAACAUAACCACAAAGUUACAACUACAACCCAGAAAAGUCAGACAAGACAUGCGAGGAACAUGGGCAAGAAUGUAAUUGUGUACCUGGAUUGGAGAAGAACCAGAGGAUGAUGGCACAGAGAGCAAGGAUGAGAGGUAUUAAGUGGAUGGCGUUCUCUGCAGACUUGAUGCGAGACCGUUCUUUCUUGGCGGCAUGAGAGAGGGGGUCGUAUGUGGGCAGAUCCACGUCAUGGUGGUGGUGGUGCUCUGAGUCGUGGGUUGCGGUGGUUGAAGAUUGUUGCUUUUGCUGCUGCGGUGAAGCAGUUGAUGAGGAGUUGACCGGGAAGUCCCCGGAGACUCGGGGAGCACUCGCGGAUCUGUGCAUCUUUGCUUUCAACUCUUCUGACCAAAUUAACGCGAUGCACUUGUCAACGGAUCAAGGAUUGGGGACGCCCUUUUAUACUGUCUUGGUGGGUUAAAAGAAUCUACAAAAUUACCAGAGUUCGGUAAAUUUUUAUUUUUAUUUUUAUCUCACCAAGAUAACUAAUCAUGAGUCCAAGAUAGUUGCUAACGUAAUGGAGGUGGGUUGUUACUUCACUCUAGAUUGAAAAAUACAUUGAUUAAUCACGAAACACUAGAUGUAAAACAAUCGCACGCGAGACUAUAUUAUGACAUUUUAGGUGUAAAAGUUGGUUAUUAGAUGCGCACAUUCAGCUCAUGGUUUUCUACUAAUAAUGGAAGACUUGUCAAUAGUGUUUUUGCAAUCACUACCGGUUAUUCCAAUGCGUCGUAAUUUUGUUCUUAACUCAUAAACUUAGUUUGUUUUCGAAAAUAACAAACACAAUACCAUUGCAAUAAUGUUUUUAAAAUCGGUAACCACUUUUUGUUGAUACAACCAUCAGAGAUGUGAAAUGCUUUCGACGACAUAUUCAUUCUAAUUUCUUCCGCUAUGAUAUUCGUACAAUUGAACCUAUGUAUGUUGACCUUCUAAUAGAGGAAAGGAAGGGCACAUGGCACACCCAUUGUAUAGCAUUGCAAAUAAUCUAGACGGAAGACCAACAUUGAUCUAAGCACAUGUACUCAUUUAGGGGGAAAUUGAAAAAUGGACGAAAGUCAUGAAACACUUCUAACUCGAGGGUACUCGUAAGCAAGUUGAAAUGUUUAUGAGAAUGGGUAAUGAUGAAUAUUUAAAGCAGCAUCGAGAAACAUUGUGGAGGAGUUGGAACAAUGAUCGGCCACCUUGUCUUUUCAUACCAAAAUAUGGCUUCUCAUACCAAAACGUGUCGUUGCGGUCACAGUGCUGCAAAAAUGAGAUCUCUCAUUCUCUCGUCUCGGCUUGGAUUAGAAUAAGCGACGAAAUCGAAAGGGAAACGUAGACGAAAGAGGCAUGGUGAUGAUGGCGGGCAAUGCCAGGUUGCGUAAACACAAACGCGCACGUAUUGGCUUUGGCUUUUGCUUCCGCAGUUCCGCCUUGUGCUUUGACGCGCAUUUCAUUCAUGUCUCUUUUGUUUGCCUUUGCGCUUAAGAUUUUUAAGCACAAAGAUGAAAAGCUUGACGAAGCAACUCAGAACCAACUAUGCCAGCCUUUGCUUCAUUCACCCACUUUCUCUCCUCUUCCUCUGGAAUUUUCAAAACACUUUCUUAUGCUUUCGGAAAUGACUUUAACACCCCUCAGUCCCUUUGGUUCCUUCAAUUUUAGACCUUGUUUUGAUAAGGUUUUAGUGGGUUAUCAUGUCACACAACAAUGUCAUUAAGUAGUUGAGGUCCAAGUCACUAUUUUUUGUUUUAUCUUUUUUCAUUUGAUUGAAACAAAGUGGAAGAAAUGAGAAAUUCUCAACAACCACCCUCCCAACCAUGUAUGUUUUACAUUCAAGUAUUAAAGCAUUCAAUAACGGUGAUACUUUCUUUGAUCUAAAGCAUUCAGUGAUGCAUGUAAAAGAUGGUUCCGAAACAAUUUCUACUAAUGAGUAACAAAGAAUGAGCUGACUUGCAAACUCUAACACACCGUUUCAAAAAAGAAGAAACCUUUAUAAAAAAAAAAGGGUUUUAAAAUGGGUUUUCAUCGAUUAAUCAGAGUUUUAUUGUUAUCAUUUUAGAAAAAAUAAUGGAGAAACAAAACGCCCGUUUCUAAUUCACAUAUUACACGCGAGAGUUUAUCUUAAGAGAACCCAAUUUUGUUGAUAUUAUCAUUGUUGAUGUACCAAUCAAUACAAUCGGUGCUUCCUUAUUAGAUCAGUUGAGUUCUGUUCCAAAACAAGGUUGUCCAGCCCACCUGGACGCUUCAAGCCAGUCAUCGACCCUAGUAGCGCCUAACGAGUUUUUAAACCCUGAGUAUAUGUAGUGUUUUAAAAUAAGACCGCCCAACCCGCCUAAAACAUAUGCACUGAUAUCUAUUGGACCUUGAUGCAUAUGACAUUGAAACGUUUUCCUAACCGGAGUCUAAAGUGCAAACUUUUGAGGGCAAUGGUGGAAGAUGCCCAAAAUCGUAAAAUCAGAAAUAUCAAGCAAAGUGAUGGUACACGUGGUUGAAUCUAGUCCCCUAAUACUACGUCACAGGCACUAAUAGAGAAUUCCGGCAUUUUAGGGGUCCUUUUUAUAAUAAUACAAACACCCAACCUUCUCUUAUUUCCUCCUCCUCGCUUUCUUCUUCUUCUUCCACUUUCUCUCUCUACCUCUCUCACUCCGGCCAAGUCUAUCACUACCGACGCAAUUUCUCGCCGGAAUCCAAAUUCUCGCCGAUUUCUCGCGAUUCACUCCCCGGCCCAGCCAUGAAUCCCGAAUAGUGAGUCCGAUUUCAUAAUUCCGUCUGGUUCCUCUCUUUGUAGUUUGAUUAUCUCGGCGAUGAUCUUGGAGCUCUAGUUUCUUGGAGGCUUUUGAUUUUGUUUAAUUCCUGAAUAUUUAUAUCUGUUAUUUUUGCUCGAAUUUAGGUUUUUGAAUUUAGAUCUAGAUGCUUCGCUAUCAGAUCCGUGUAGAUUUUGUUUUAGAUUCAGAAUUUAUUUCAAUUUGGAGACCUGUAAUCUGGACUGAGUUGUUGGAUCGGUGCUGGUUUGGUUAAUAGUUUAUUAUUGGAUAGUAAUUUUUGAUCAGUGAGGUAAAUAGUUUGAUUAUUGUUUUAGAUCAAAUAAUUACUGAUGUUUGUGGUGAAUUGGAUGCAGUGACUACCUGUUUAAGCUUUUGCUGAUUGGUGAUUCUGGUGUCGGCAAGUCUUGUUUACUUCUGCGGUUCGCUGUAAGUUGUAGUGAAUUUGUUCUUGUAUUUUGCUCUUUGGUUAUCUAUAGUUCUAAUAGUUGAUAGAGAUUGUAUUGCGGCUGAUUUGUUCUAUGUGUUUGUGGAAAUCAGGAUGAUUCUUACUUGGAUAGCUACAUCAGCACAAUUGGAGUUGACUUUGUAAGCAUUACUUGGGUUUUACAUUGUGUGAUUCAUUUGAGUUGUGAUAUAAAUCCCGUUCCUAUUGUUCGGCUCUCAUUAACCUUCUGUUGUGUCUUUUGUUUAGAAAAUCCGCACUGUGGAGCAGGAUGGAAAGACUAUCAAACUUCAAAUUGUAAGUAUAUGAGUUCUCUGACUGGUUUUGUCAACAAGUUGUGAAACCAUCGGUUUCUUGCUGUUGUUAAUUAUGAAUUGCUUUUGGGACUUUCAGUGGGACACAGCUGGCCAAGAACGUUUCAGGACGAUUACUAGCAGCUACUACCGUGGUGCUCAUGGUAUCAUUGUAAGUGGGUUGUUCCGUACUUGGUGAUGGGCUUCUUACUCUUCCUGGACUUGCUAUUUAUUAUAGAUAUUUGUUUGGUUCUUGCAGGUUGUUUAUGAUGUCACAGACCAAGAGAGCUUCAACAAUGUGAAACAAUGGUUGAAUGAAAUUGACCGUUAUGCAAGUGAAAAUGUGAACAAACUUCUAGUUGGAAACAAGUGUGAUCUUACAGCAAAUAAAGUUGUGUCCACUGAGACAGCCAAGGUAAUUGUGAUGACCAUGUUCUGGUUUUCUAAUGUAUAUUGUUGGCAGACCACUUUUACCCAUGUGUGGUACACGGUAUACGAGAGCGAUGUGAUGAUUUAACUUUUUCAUUACUUUGCUUAGGCAUUUGCAGAUGAAAUUGGAAUCCCUUUCAUGGAAACCAGUGCCAAGAAUUCCACCAAUGUUGAGCAGGCCUUCAUGGCUAUGGCUGCUGAGAUUAAGAACAGGUACUUAGUUUGUAUUCCAUUUUUCUCGUAUUGCUUGAUCAAUUAUCCCUGUAACUGAUAGACUGUAAAUAUAUGAUUACAAUUUGAACUUUUUAUAUCAUUAUCAAAUGUGACCUUGUUAGGGAUCAAGCUGCAGAAAAAACUGCAUCUUGCAUCCUUGAUGUCUGUAAAUAGUUUCUAUCCAACUUCUCUCAUUCCUUGAUCAACUAAUAUAUGAUUGCAACUGGGCUUAUCUCUUUAUGAACUGGGACUUCUCAUCUCUUUGUCAGAUGUGAACUUGUUAGUGGUUAAGCUGCUGAAACAACUGUAUCUUGCAUCCUUCAUGUCUAACAUACAUCGUAUGUUUUGGUUCCUAUUGCAGGAUGGCAAGCCAACCGAUGAACAAUGCCAGGCCUCCAACAGUGCAGAUUCGUGGACAGCCUGUGAACCAAAAGUCUGGUUGCUGCUCUUCUUAAAGGGGAAAAGAAUAUUGGUGGGUGAAUGAUGUUUAUGGGUGUUUUCAUGAAUUGUAAAACUAGUUUUAUCUUAACGCUUUGAUAUGAAGAUUUUCUUUUGUUGUCAGUCGUCAGCACUAUGUUAAAGCCUUCCAUUCUUUUCAAUGUAUUUGUCUUAAAAACUUUUGUACAAAAAUUAGGAAUAUUGGUGAAUAGCAGUAUUUGCCUUGUUCUGUUCUCCAAAUUCUUGUCAGACUGGUUCUCCGUAGCAACAAUUCUUUAUUUUUAGUUCAUCACAAAAUAAAUAUGAGUUUCAAACUGGUGAAUGCAACCCUGCCGCUUUAUGUAUAUUUCUCUUGGCAUCACACACAUAUCUUACCGAUCUUGCCUUUGUGCUAUUGAAGCCUUAAAGUUUUUGCACAUAUUAGAAAGAUUGAAUUGUAUCAAUCUGAGUAGCCCCCUUUGAAUUGCAUAGAAAUAAAAAAUUCGAGAUAAAUAAGUGGCAAAGCUUAUCUUCAUUUGUUUUGUUGUACAGAAAGCUUGGCUUUAUCUCUGAAACUGUGUUGCAUUAUCAGUAUGAGGCAAAGCUUUAGCUUCAUUUGUUUUCUUUCUUGUUAAUGGUACAGAAAGCUUAGCUUUAUCUCUGAAACUAUGUUGUAUUGAUCACUCUCAAGUCUCAAGUCCCACAGUCCUAUACUAGGGGAGAAAGCUAUCACUUAGCAAAACCCGGAAGCAUUACAGAAUGCAGUCAAACUUGAGCUGUUAUCAGUGGAUAUUUGAAUCCACUGUGAUUAGCUACAAACUCUGAAAUUCUUACAGAUGGAGUUGGUUGUGAGCCCUCGUAAAUCUUUGUGACGCCAUGGUUGAAACUGAAAUCUUAGUCAAGUGAGGAGCUCUUCAUUCGUGAGCAUUUUGAGAGGAUUAUAUAUCCACAUUCCAUCCUCCAUUGUUUCAACUGUCAAGGUGGUCGCAACCAGCGAGGAAUCACUUCAUAACUAGCGGGCAAAGGGAGGAGGCAUUCAUCAUUAGACAAAUAGUUUCUCCACAUCGUUGCAUGCAAUCUCCAAACAUUAUGCUUCUGGGUUUGCUUGUUUUGAAGACUGAACUGUAAAGGGUUUGGCGGUAAAACUUUAGUCCGAGUAAACAGUAUCUUCAAUGUAAAGACCAAAUUGAUAUAGUCAAAAGCCAUUCGAACGCUGAGACAUCAAGAAGAAACUCAAUAAUACAAACAGAGAAGCAGCGAGAAAGAGCCAGCCGGUCCACCAUUACCACAUUUUUGUUUUUGUGAUAUCUCAUUUGUUUCCAACAUUUAACGUGUAAGUCCUUAAAUCGCCGUAUGCGAAGAUCGAAUGAAAACUAGUGAUCCUAAAUUUUUUCAUUUUAUUUUCAUUUUUGACCCGAUCAAAUUAAGCGCUCAUAAUAAGAAUAUUUCAUAUUCGACCUUAGGUUCUCACCUCCUGUGUUUGCAACAUUUAAGACUAUUUUUUUGUGUUUCAAUUUUAUUAACGGUAUUAUAGUAUAUGCAUACUAAUGCGACCUGGAUGACCGAAUCAAAAUAUUACAUACAUAUUAGUUACUCAGUUCACUUGCACCUUGGUGCGUAGAAAAAUUUUCGAGAAUGAUGUUAUGAAUUAAUAAUCUUUUGCACGGAUUUGUUUCUUUUCAUUGAAACGCUUGGGAUUUCUAUUUCUUAAUUUCGAUUGGAUUCGUUUCAUGUGCUGUUUUUCCUGUCAUAAUGAUUAUAUAGUUAAGCUUAUGCAUGCACCCAAGAAAAUCAUACAUGCCCCUUUAUUAGUUGAUCGACCUUUAGAGUUCCACCUUCUUGAUACGCAUGUAUGUAACAAACAUUUUAAUUGUAAUUAACUAGUCAUAAUUGUAAUUAACUAGUCAUAGACUCGUAUGUUCUCGAGGCCCAACGAAUAAAAUCAACUUUCAUUUUUAAUUUGAACAGUUUUAGGCUCAUAUAAAUAGGCCUUUUUCUAUCCCUGCUCCUCACUGUUUCUUCUUCAAUGGAAACUUUUAACCCUACUGGUGUUAGUAUGUUGCUCACAAUUGACACUACGCGCAACAGAGUUCUAUUCGCCGAAACUAGCAAGGAAGCUGUCGAUUUUCUUUUCACUCUUCUAUCUUUGCCUGUUGCCACAGUCAUUAGCCUCCUCUCUGGGGAUGGUAUGGUUGGUUGCAUCGGAAAUCUGUAUGAGAGCGUUCAAGAUCUCGGAGACACACACUUGGAACCCAACUUUAACAAGGACAUGCUGCUGAAACCCAAAGCAACAGUUGUUGGUGCCGAUAUCCUUGGCGUAAACAACAAUGUCUGUAAGUCUUGCAGCUGCCAUUUCCCUGGAUCUGUUUGUCCAUUAUGCGAAUGCGCCGUGUCUACGACAGCUGCAUCUACUGGAGAAGCGCCCUGCAGCAAUGGAGGGUACGUCAAAGGUGGUGUUGUAUUCGUGAUUAUGGAUAACUUGGUAGUGAAGCCUAUGUCUACCGUAUCAAUUCUAGAUGUGCUUAAAGAGCUGAAUGUUAUGGAGGUUGACGCCCUUGAACAGAAGUUGGUUAGUCUUGGCAAGGAAGAGGUUUAAUAUAUUCCGUUCAUAAUUCUAUCAAUUUCAUUUCAUAUAUUAACGAGUAUAUGAUUUUAAUAAUUAGCGCUUGGUUUUAUCCUUAGGGGCUGAAGUUGGUGAAGGCAUCUUUGGAGUCGAAUGCAGUUCUUAGCAGUGCAUUCCUUGGUAAUGAACUGCUUACACAAUGUCGUUUCAACUUAAUUUUGCGCUCUAGUAUUUCCUGUACGUAAAUUUUAACAACUAUGCAGUAGCUUAUUCUCUAAAGCCAACAUAUGUAUGCAGUAGCUUAUUCUUAUAGUGGAUUUUUCCUCCUUCUGUCAUCACUAGCAUUAGUGGAUAUGAUAGUUUUUAGGAAAACAAUAACAGAGGUACAAAACACCCUUGUCAAUUCAGUUUUGAUUAUGCAAGGAAACUGUAUUCAUUAAACUAGGGAGUCUGAAGCUUGUAUAUCACCGAAAUGUUUUGAACAGGGAAGUAAAGUAGGGAGACUGAAGUUUUUUUUUUUUUGGGUUCUCACAGGUAACGCAAUUGGGACUCCGGGCCAGUCCCGCACACAUACUGAUGGUAAGAGCUUUCGGUUUUUCUGUUCUGGAAGUAUAGUUGUGUUUGAUAUACUGAUAACUCCAUUAUAAUGUAGGUUUGGAAGCUGAAAUCCAGGGUGAAUAUGUUGCUCUUUCAGAAUUCAUUGGGUUAAAUAGGGUAAGAAGCCAAUGACAUAGAAUUCCCCUUUUACCAACCAACUUAAUUAGUUUCUAAUUCAUUGAGUUGUUUCUUUAAUUGCAGGUAGAACAAGCAGAUGUGUUCGAUGAGAAUUGGAAAAAUGAAGAGAAAAAAUGGAACAAAUAUGGCAAGUAUAAAGCACUGAAGAAACUAAGAAACACAAGAACAAGGAGAUGUUGAUAUACUUUGAUUAUCACAGACAGCAAACAUCCCAUUUGGCUAUUUCUAUGUUUAAAUAAAGCAUUUACAUUCCCAAUUCCCAGUAACCUACAGCAAAGUUUCAAUGCACUUUUAUUCCCUACACACAUCUAUAUGCAUAUAUCAUCAAAAGAGAAUUUUAGAGUUUGCCUCUCUUAUAGGUGAACGCUUUCAUUUUGAUUAUUUCUUUUAAGUUUCAAGUUAGUUAUGCGUUUCAGUAUUUCCUUAUAUUGAGAUCGAUAUGGGUUUCAUAAGCGAGGCACCUCUUAACUUUGGAUUCUCUUAAAAAACAUCAAAUGGAGGGGGAAUAAUGAAUAUAAGGAAAUAUUUGUUGGGAACUGAGUCACGAAAUUAUUGAGACCUAAAUGGUAAAAAGUCCUUACCCUGAAAAUGCUAUCCGUCGACAAUUGAUAUAACUUCAUUAAUGUAUGUGUAGAAUGAAGAUCACAAAAAAGAUGCAAGAAACGAUCUUUGUUUUGUAUCGUUGGCCUCAUGAUUGGAUAUAAUGGUUUUGGAGAAACAAUAUAUGAUGAAUUGCAAAAGAGCCCCCCAACACACACACACACACAACUAUGUUACAGAAUAGCAUGAAUGCAGUCAACAGUGGCUGAUCUAGUUUCAAAUUUCUAAUAGUGAAAAAAAGAAUAAGGUUCCCAGGAAGGAGUGAGGUGCCGAUAAUUGUAUGCCAAUGAAUCAUGUGAUCGGUUAGAAGCCGUAGGGAAAGUAGAUAAAGCAACAGCGGAGAAAGUGUCACUUGUAUAGGAUCCUUGCAGUUUUGGAAGAAGGCAUAGUGAAUUACAUACUGAAAAAAAUUUCCAUAAUGAAUUACAUAUUUGUCUACAAGUCAUUUUUUCAGGUCGAUACAAAAGAACCACUACAAAACAUGUCUAAAAUAAGCUCGUUCAUCCUCUUGGCUACGCAACCUAGCAAGCUUGUUAGUGACAACAAUAUCAAACGGGGCAGCUCUCUCAACAAUUUCCUUCAUCUUCCUUGUGGAGAUGUUGUGUGCAGUCUCAGCACAAUAGGUCCUAUUGUGCAUCAUCAGAACUUCCAGCUCCUUGACAUCAUGGACAACAAACUUCUUGAAAUGACUGGGAAGAUAAUGGCGAGUCUUCUUGUCAGAACCAUAACCAAUGUUAGGCAUGCAUGAGAGUAACUCCCUUGAAUUUUCUCCAUACACGAGUAAAUACCCUUAGGACUCCUCCAGUUGGUCUUGACGCAGAUCUUGCGGUCGCUCUGGGGCCACUUGAACUGCUUGACCCUCUUCUUCACGAUCACCUUCUUCAACAUCAGAACCGCCAUUUUCAAUUCACCUCCUUGGGGUUCAGCUCGGCAGCCUUGGCUCAAGGGAUAGUGGUUUGGAUGUUCAACAGCAUACUAGAGUUGGCAAGAAGUCAAUCCCAAGUAUUAAAAUGACUGAAAGCGCUAACUUUAGCAUUCAAUGGUAUGCCAAUAUCUGGUGGUGGCUCUAUAAUGCUAAUCGACAAUUGCAAUAGACCCAAAUGUGUCAAUACUAUGAUACCAUUAUGAGGUGGCUCUAUCCUCAUCAAUCCAAUGCACGAAAAAAGAAUAUAUAUGUACCCAAGAUUUACUGUCACGAAGGAUUGAGGGAAAGUAAUGUUGCUAAAGCAUAACUAGCCUGCAAUUGGGGUUUUUAGAUGUAACUGAAGAAGACCAGCCGGUCUUUGUUUUUCGGAUCCAACCUUAACUGGCAUGACAUGUGCAGUGAUCUCAUUCAGUAGAAUCUUUUUGUUGCAAGCCACAUUGUUCCGAAUGUACUUGAGGAAACUUCCAGGGGAGCACUUAUUUGCAUGCUACCAGUAAUCUCCACAAGAACAAACCCCAUUUUUAAACUGAUGGAACCUUGUAGUAUCUCUGAGAAUGAUUUCUCUUUUCUCAAUGACUGAUAUAUACUUGAUUGCAUGAUGGCAGUCCCCACAUACUCUCAAGUUUUUGAAAAUGCGGAUUGGCGUCCCUGAAGGCACAUGUAUAAGCCCAAAAGCAAUUGCUAGUUUUUCACUGUGCCAUAGUAGCAACUGCUGUUUCUGCUCUUCCCCAACAUCAUGUAAUGCAAAUUCAAGAUCUGGAACAUAGCCUGCCAACUUCAUUUUCUGAUCCAGCUCAGCCAGUUUUCUGUGAAUAGAUGCCAAAUCUGGGUGAGCCCUGUCACCUGAUCUGAACUCAUGGACUACACUCUUGACCUCAAUCCAACUGUAGCCAGGUGUCUUCACAACCCUAUUUUCUUUCAUUGAUCGCCUGACCUUCGCUACAAGUUCCCAUCUAUUUGUUGCAGCAUAAACAUUAGCAAGUUGAACAUAACCUGCUGCACUUGUUGGAUCAAGAUCAAGCAAUUUCUCAGCAGCGAACUCAGCUAACUGUAAGUUCUUGUGCACCCGACAGGCACCCAACAGAGUUCCAAAAAUAGCAGAAUGUGGUUCAAAUGGCAUUUUCUUUAUCAAUUCUACAGCUUCAACUAGCUUACCAGCACGACCAAGAAGGUCUACCAUACAUGUAUAGUGCUCUGGCUUAGCUUCAACUUGAUACUCUGGUGCCAUGGUAUCAAAGUAUUGAACCCCAAGGUCUACAAGUCCAGCAUGAUUGCAAGCCAUUAACACAGACACAAAUGUGAUCCAAUCUGGGUUAACUCCCUCAUUCCUCAUCUGGUCAAACAAACUGAGAGCUUUUAAACCUUCCCCAUGAUGAGCAUAGCCAGCAAUCAUUGCAUUCCAAGUAACAACAUCUUUUCGUGUCAUCUCAAUGAAAAACUUCCAUGCAUCCUCCAAAUUCCCACACUUACAAUACAUACUAACCAAUGCAGUUCCUGAAGUUGUACCAUUAUAUAAUUCAAACUUAUAUAGUAGCUGAUGUACUUGCCUGCCCAUUUGCAGCGCCGACAGGUUGCUACAACCCAGUAGAGCACUACUCAAACUUGAUGCAUUUGGCCUCACCCCAUAUCCAAUCAAUUUACUGAAAAGCUUCAAACCCUCUUCAGCUCGACAGUUUUCCACAUACCCCGCAACCAUAGCAUUCCAUGUCACUAAAUUUUUCUCGGGCAUCUCUCUAAACAACUUCUCAGCCACUCCAACCUUCCCAAACUUCAUAUACCCAGUAACCAUAGCCGUCCACGCCACAACACUCUUAACCGGUGCAAGCUCAAACCACUUCACCGCCGAGUCCAAAUCCCCACAUUUCACAUACCCCGAAACCAACGCACUCCACGAGACACUGUUCUUCUCCGGCAUCAAUAAAAACAACUUCUGUGCUUCCCUCAUCUCCCCAUUCUGAGCAAAACCCGAUAUCAUGGUAUUCCAAGACGCAAUGUCCUUAACCGGCAUUGUACCAAAGAACUCCAUAGCAGACCCAACACCAAGAUUACGUAAAUAACAAGCCAACAUAAUAUUAUACGAGCAAGUGUCUGGUUCAGGAAUUUUAUCAAACAGUUGGCGGGCUUCUUUAACUUUCCCUGGAAUUUUCGUAAACCCGGCUAAAAUCGAGUUCCAACUGGUUGUGGUUCUAACAGUCAUUUUCUCAAACACCUUAAGUGCAGAAUCUAAAUCCCCGGACCGAAUGUGGCUGGUGAUCAACUUAUUCGACUUAAUGAUAUUGCGAAAUUGGUGGUGAUCGAAGUGGUUAGACUCAUUGCAAAGUUGGGUUGGUGAAACCAGGUGGGUUUUGUGUGGAGGAAUGGCUUGUUUGGUUUGAUUGGGUUGUGGGUGGUGGGUUGUGACGGUGGAGAGGGGAGAGGUUUGGUUUUUGGCAUUAGGGAAAAGAGUUGUGAGAAGCAGUGAGGGCUGUGCUCUUGUGCUUCUUCUGAGAGAUGUCAUGGUAUCUCUCAAGCAAGUGAGAAGAGCAUGACUUCAAUCAGUUCAAUGACAUGGGGAAGUUGAAUUUGUGAGUCUGGGAAUUUAAAUUCUCAAAUUUUAAAUUUUAGAAACAAAAAAUUCCGUUGCCGGGACUUGAACCCGGGUCUUUCGGGUGAGAGCCGAAUAUCCUGACCAACUAGACUACAACGGAGUUGUGAUUCAAGGUUGACUUUGUUUUUAUUCACGGGAAGCAGGCUUAAGUUAAAAACUUUAAAUUGGUUCUUAGUUUGCUAAAAACUUGAAGGCUUGAAGCUAAUUACUUUUACAUCUUCAGAUUAUGAUCUUCUUGAAUUAGUGGAAGCCAAAUCAUUAUAGUCUUAGCUGUUAUAUAGUAUGCAUGUGCUAAGGUAUGUUUACUUUCUAGAUGGUUAUAUACUAUAUAUAACAGCAAUGUUGAUUUUAAUAUGGUGUGCUUAAGAAAUUGCAUUUUGAGAUACUUGUGGGGGUAUUUGCUCGACUUUAUGCAGCUUAUGUAAUCCAAGGUGUCAAAUCUUCUGUAUAAACAGAAACACAAUCAUCAGGGAGGGAUGCACGGGUGGGUUGGGGUUUGCUGCAGCCCACCUCAAUAUUUUAGAAAGAAAAAAAAUUUAGUAAUGUAGCAUAAGUUCCAACAGCCUAAAAUACAUAAGAAAAAAAAAUCUGAAUUAUGGAGGCUUCUAAAUUAGGUUAGAUUACGGUUGAACCAAAGACUAAAAUUUUGCCUAUCAAAGAUAUUUUGAUGGUCUAAAAAAUAGAUAUUUCGAUUGAAAUAUCGGAAAAUAUCAAAAUCAUUAAACUUUUAAGGGGAAAAUAAGGAAAGAUAUUGAUAUUUAUGAAACGUAUUAAUAUAUAUAUAUAUAUGUACACGAGUGAACAAAACACAUUCCAGCAUGCAUGAUUGAGGGGACUAGCUUGGGGCGUUUUGGUGCACGUACCUUGGCGGACCAAGGUUCGAAUCUCCACAUUUUUCGUGAAAAAUCGAUAAUUUCGUACGAUAUUCUCUUAGUACCUCUAAUAAGUUUCUAUACCUUAAGAAAACAAAAAAAUCGCCGAA
RNAcentral lists this long non-coding RNA (55767 nucleotides) under Fragaria vesca (wild strawberry). Its description in RNAcentral is "long non-coding RNA (FVES_LNC002566)". The record is from RNAcentral. Lineage: Eukaryota; Viridiplantae; Streptophyta; Magnoliopsida; Rosales; Rosaceae.